Molecule: long non-coding RNA, 72381 nt
Filed under: Cinara cedri
Lineage: Eukaryota; Metazoa; Arthropoda; Insecta; Hemiptera; Aphididae
Source: RNAcentral
CAGCGAUCACUCGUGAAUUAAAAUAUUGUGGUAUCCGCCGUUGUACACUUACCGGCCCGAUCACAUUACUAUCGGAAUUCGCGCGGCACGAGUGCUGCGAUAAGCGCGGUGACAUCGUCGUGGACACGGCGGCGGCGGCGGUCUCGACGACAAUAAAAACGUGAGUCGAAAAAAACAAAUUAUUUAAGAAAGUGCCGAAGGCGAUGAAAUCGAAACGCUUCGCGCAAUAACCCGCCGACACAGCUUAUUUUUCAAAGAGACAAAAAAAAAAAAAAAAAUAGUUUUUUAAAUACCGCGUUUAUAGUGAAAUAGAUGUCAACGUUGAUUUGGCGACACAUAGAAAAAACAUACAGAAAAAUUUGUUUUCACCUCGUUUGAUUAAUUAUGCAUAGGCGCGUGUAAAUGAGAGGGGAUUUAGGGGUAAGGGUUUAGGGGAUCCCUUAAUCCCCCCGUUUAGGGGUUCAAACACCCUGAAAUUCCAUGAGAAUUAUGAUGAAAGUAGAUUUUCAAUAAAUUCUCAAAAUUUGUUUUCGUAAAUGAGGAAGAUAAAUACAAUUUUGGUUUUAUUUUAAUUUUUUUACCAGGCAGUAGGUAUGUAUUGUUAUUAUUGCCAUUUUUUGUUGUGGUUUUCCUGCUUUUAGAAAACUAUAACUGAAACGACGAUAUAUCAUAGUCCGCAUAAUUAUCGAAACAAUAUGAAUUACGUUUGUCAUUUGGGUUGUAUUCACUUAAAAAAAUGUUAAAAAUGUAAAAUUAAGUAUUAAGUAAAGCCGAAAUGGCUAAACGUGAAUGUUAUAAAAUGUUGAUAUUUUUAAUGAAAAAUAAAUAAUCCUACAGUUGAAAGUACGUAAACUUCUUCGUUACAAGAGUAUGAAAGUGUACAACCUUACUCCCCCCCCCCCAAAAAAAAAAAAUUUUUUUUUUUUUUUUGUAAACGCACCUGUCCACACCGUAUGUUAACCGUAAGAGACAUUUAUAAAUUAUAUUUCGUUUUGAGUUGUCUUGUGUUUUCAUUCAGAAUCGUUUAACCACGUUAUGAUUUCGUACGCGGAUAACAAAUCGGACUUUUCUUGUUACCGCGGAAAAAUCACGGGAAUCGUAUUACGCUCGAUCGGACGAAAGCGUCCGCGGAAAUAUAAAUCUGGAGGGGGGGGGCAAAAUCAAAAGUAUAAGACUUUUUUUUUUUUUUUACAACUUACUGCAACUUACAAGUAAUCACGGCUUGAAUAUUCGAGCACCCCCUGCGGACGCCCUUGCGAUCGGAUAUAACCAGAACGUGAGUUUUGCCAAAAACUGGCGCUGUCCGAUGAGAAACCCUUCAAUUUUAACUUUUUCGGUAUGGUAUUUAAUAUUCACCAUAUAGUAUGGGAAAUUGAACACUCGGUCAAAAUACAACUUUGUGUAUUAUAAUAUUUAAAAUUUCCCAGAAAAUGUACAGUCGGUCGUUUUUCUAACGCUGGAUGGAAACCUGUAAAGACUAUUUGAUCGUAUUACUUUUGUCGUCCCGGGAAAGAAACAUCAUUUGAGUCGGUGGUUUUUUUUUUUUUUUUUUUUUACAAUUUGUUUAUUUUUAUUUUUAAUCCAAAUUGCACAAGUGUAAAUAUUUCCGAAAUUCGUGUAUACGGCGUAUUCGUGUAUUAGUUUAUGUACAAAAUUGAAUUGAAAUUUAUUUUAAAAUUAUUUUUUUUCCACACAAGCUAUUUUUCCCGGGGGGACCAAAGGUUUAACUCACUUGGUCGCUGCUUUUCGCUCGACGACGAUGACUGCGAUAAUGAGAGCAAAAUAAUGUUGUUUCAUGACAUUUUUUGGUUCUGUCGAAUUUCUCCUGAACAUGGAGACCACACUGUUGCCUCUGUCUGCCUGUAUCUGUCUUUUUCCCGCUAAAUUCGGACAUUUCAACCCCGUAUACGGACCAUAUGAACUCAAACUACCGUGCGUUAUAUGGGUCGUUUUACGUGCGGAUAUUGAAGAGAUACAAAUGGAAUUGAGUUUCAAUGAGAAUAUUUCGGCAUGUUAUUUCAGAGAAAGUGUUUUUUACGCUUUUAACAAAUCCCCCGGAUGAAGUCACACGGGGACAAUGUUUUUAAUUUACGCACUGCGGUUAUCAUCGAAAAUGUGCAUUUUGGGGAUUUCGACUUUCGGUGUAUUCCAUUUUUAUUGUCCAAUCAUCCCCGAAAAUAUACAGACCGUCGGAUUGCAAUAAUGUUUCUAAAUUAUAAUUAUUACCCAUAUAUCUUUUUUCGGGAAAAAACGAGCUCAAAUUCGGAAAUCAGAAUUAUUUUUGUAGACGUAUUGAAGUGAUAAAAUUUCCGUUGAACUUCAAUAUGAAUUUAUCCAUGGUUUUCGGAUUGAAUGGUCGUGUUUUUCGUAAAACUUUAUAUACCCUUUCAGAGCCACUAAAUGAAACCAGCGGGAUGACAUUUUGUGUAUGCGUGGCAUUAGUAGUAUCAAGAAUGUGCCUUUUGUAGGUUUAAUUCCCUCCCCGUAGUCUUUAACCAUUAUAUAUUGCCAUUACCUAUCGUAUUGUCAUAAAGUAUUCGGUUAUUCGGUUUGUUUUACAGAGAAUUUUUCUAUAACGUAAAAUAUAGACGGGUGAAAAUUCGAUUCCAGCGACGGAACUCUGUUGUUUAGGGAUGUUCAUUUUGUUCAAACUACACGACAUUAUUCCCCCCAUUUUUAUACCAGUAUGGUCCUAAAGAAAAGAAAAAAACGGCGCAGUAAAAGCAGUGCGUUACAUUUGACGUGUUAUUAUUAAAAAAAAAAAAAUGCCAACAACGUACAAAAGCUGUGUGUGUGUGUGUGUAUGUUUGUGUACGCGCGCGCCCACGAGUGUGUUUUGGAACGAUUCCAACGGUACAAAAGGACACCGCGCUAAAAGUUUUAAGGGAAAUAUUGGCAAGAAGUACCAGUUUCUCGACUUUACGCGAUAAGAUUGUUCUCGUCAAGUUUCUUUUUUUUCCUUAUAGCGGCCCACUCCCGCUGGACGAAACUCUGAAUUCAAUAAUAUUCAUCAAAUUCUAUAGGUGAGUAUAUAGGUAACUGUAAUAACUCUGCUCCGUACAUGUAUUCGGUUCGCGUUCCGGCAAUCGAAUCUUAGUAAUAAUAUUUUGCGACCGUCCGAAUGCAAUAUUCCAGGGACACCGACAAAAUAAUUUUUCCGAAUAAAUAUCGUCAGGUACCUACCUAGAAAAACAUCAUAAGUCGAUUUCAACAAAUUUUACAAAACUGUCGCGGUAAAAUCUGUUACUAGGAAAAGUACAAGAAAAAUCGAAAAUGAUAAAAUAACAAGAUAAAAUAAUUCUACAAGAAAGCUCAUGGGCAGAUUUUGAUUAGGACAAGAUUUCUGGUAGAAAAUUUUGCUUACGCGAUUCGCUCGGAAUCGUUUUUUUAUGAAUACAUAAUAUUAUGUGUUUCGAUAGUUUAUUUUUACAAUUUAUUUCGACGGUCUCUGCAGCGGGUUUUCUUGCGGCUAUCGCAUUGGGCCAGCUUCGAGGUCUUUUCGGACGACAUAAUUUCAUUUUACGGCCCGGUGUACGCUCGGUGAAACUUUAAAGUCGGUUACAAAAGUAAAAAAUGUGCUCGUUUUCGGCCGAUAGCAUGGCACGCGGGUACUACUCCAUUUAUUUAUGUUAUUUUUAAUAUAGCUUCUCAUUUGAAAAACCAAAGUUGGAACCACACCAGGAUACUCCUUGAAUGUUGUGAAAAGUCUAGGUAUUCGAAAAUAUCAGUUUUAACUGCAUUUACAAAUUCCAAAAAUCAGAAUUUGAAUAUAUGCAAAAUUUAACCGAUACAAAAUGGAGUGAGCACACUUAGUGUAUCAUCGUGUAUGUAUUUUAUAUUCGUAUGGCAUACUAAUGAACGGUAUCACUAAGUUAAAUUUCCCGACUAGAUACCAUAUAGAUCAAACUAUUAUUGCAAUAACUAACAUAAAUAAAUAUUCGAGGUUUAGGCGAUAUCACAAGUAUGACAACAAAUGAAAUUAAAUAUAAACCUAAUCCUAGGAAUCCAGCCAGGCCACUGUCGCGGGGGAUUCCAAUAUCCUCCAAAUCAGUGUUGUAUCCCUUAAGGGGGCAAUUCGAAAUUAGAUGUUACGUUGAAAAACAUUUCAGUGAUAUACAUUUGUUCAAAUUCGAUUUUCUAGUUUACAUCAGACAUCCUUAGUCGAGGUACUUGUUUUGUCUAACAUCUGUUUUUCCAACGGGCAUUUUGGCCAAAAACGAGUUUGCGUUAUGCAAACCACACGGAUCUUAAUAUCGGACAUUUAGUAAUAUUACUCGUAUAUGUAACUCCAGCUAUACAAUAAUUUGUAUAUGACAAUAGAUUUUAAUUUAACGCAGACUAACCUCGUCGGCAUUUUUUCGAAAUAUAUUAAAAACAUUUAAAAAAAAUAAAACCAACAAUAAUGUAAAAUACGAUUUUUUAUGUACCUUCGAUAACGAUGAGUAGAAUAUUUAGGUAGAUUUAAAACGCUGACAUGGGUUGUCUUCAGAAUGUUGUUACCGACAAAUUGUAUUAUAGGUGUUUUUAUUGUUAAAGUCGAUUUUAAAAGCAUUUUCAUUUGUUUUACGCGAAUGUGUUUUUGUAAUAUUGUGCGUUAGAAAUACAAACGACAAAUGCCAUUGUGACGGCCUCUUAAGGGGAUUCGAAACGGAACGAACAUUCUUCCGUCCUGCUUUGUCGCACAGAAAUUUAAACCAAUUUUCUGUCAAUCAGAGUUCUAAAAACCGAUUUGAAUUCAGCUUUUAGUGUAAAUGAGAUCGGCCAGGCCACUUUUACGUAUAUCAGUUCUUAAUUUCCAAAAAGAACGUCGAGUACUCGCCCAUAUUUGAUGUCACGCUAGUAAAAUAAUAAACCCGCGUGGGGUGCGAUGUUUUUCGCGGACUGGUGGAUUCAAUUCAGUAGACGAUUAAUCAUAGGUCGAUGAACAACAAUAUAGUAUCUUUAAUCCUGAUGUACAAUCUUCACGAUGAAUACGAAUCUAUUUUUAGAACUCGUAUCGGUGAACUGCGUCGGACAAAUCCUACGCCUGCCUACGUAUUAUAUAAUUGAAGCUUUUUAUACUCAAAUAAAAACCAAAUUCGUACAAAAAUUGUCUUCAAAUAUAAAUUUCAAAAAACAUAAAAAAAAUCGGUCAUACAUUUUGAUUAUAAUGACCGGUAAUAACGUGCUGCAAUUAAGUUAAUAGUUUUAACUGAAGGAAUAAACCGUUACCUACCCUAUGUCAAGUAUAUACAUACAUAAUAAUAUGUAAGUAAAAUAAAUUACUUUAAUACCUAGUUACCGACAAUUCGGGACCGGCGGAUAAGUGGAUUCACGGAAGUAGAGAUUUUUUUUUUUUGUAUAUAUAAAGAUCUCAUUUUAGUGAAAAUGUAUAUAGAUAGGUAUACGCGUAUAUAUAACGGGGGAGUUUUUUUUUACUACCGAAACCUUUUAGACCGCACGAGAGCCGUAUACGGAAAAAUGAAUUCGAUAACCCAGUAAGGGUAGGUACCUUACAAUAAGGUAUAUACAGAUCACUUUAGCUUAUAACGUUAUUUUCCUAUGGACGAGCAAAUUUUCCGUCGGUCUAUCCUUGCAACCAAAUAGUAUUAUGUUCUUAAAAUUACUUAAGGUAAUCGAUGUACGAAUAAAUAUAAUCAAAUUGAUCGAAUUAAAAUCGGUCGAAAAUAAAACUAUGAUGUUAUAUUAUAUACGUAGUCUUUUUCAAGUUUUAUUUAUUUAUUUAAUAAUUCAAACAGGAUGAACUCAAUAACAAUUUGUAUAGUUAUUACAAUUAUGGACUUAAAUCAAUUUAAAUGAUUGACAGUAACAGUAUAUAAGUGUAUAUAAAAAAAAAAAAUAAUACUUGCAAAACAAUCAAGAUAAAAAAUAAUUUAGAUAGCAAAAAAGAAAAAAUAUGUAAAGAGAGAAAAAAAAAAAAACACGAUUUAUAAAUAAUAAGUAAUAUAAUUACAAAAACAUUCAAAAGAAGAAAAAUUAAAUAAAUCUACAUGGACGUCAUUAGCUACUUUCAUUUAUGUGUAAAUAGAUGAACCAAGAGCAUAAUUAGUUUUCUGAAAAGGAAUGUAAAACUUAUUUGCAGAUCUAGUUCGACAAGGAGGGACAUUCAAAUUUAAGCAGCUGAGUAAUUCGGGACAAUUUAAAUACCCAUUAACUAUUUUUUAUAGAAACUUCAAAUCAAUGAUUUUUCCCCUAUCAGCUAGACUAGUCAGAUUUCUUCGUAAUUCAAUUAAUAAUGGAGUAUAAUUAGAGUGUGGUUGACGGGGGAUAUUACAUUUGUACGAAAUAAAUCGAAGAAAUCGAUUUUGAAUAGCUUCAAAGCCUUGUAUAUGGACAGCACUAGACCAUACGACUGAAUUGUAUUCUAUAAUAGAGCGCACCAGAGAAGAAUAGAGAAAUUUGAAUGCAUCGGAAUUAGUAAAAUCCUUACAAGACCUAUAUGAAUCCUAAUUUAGUAGACGUUUAUGUAAUAAUGUACAACGUAUGAAGACAAACCUACGAAAGUUGAUAAUAUUAUACACGAUAUGCUUAUACGAAAUAACAUUAGUUUUUUUUUUUUCGUACGGUGAAUUAAAAUAACGUUUCAAUGGUGUACAGCCGCACCUACAGGUAUACAUAUCUAAUUUAAAAUAUGUUUAGUAUAAUAUUUCAAUUAAAAUGUCUAUGGAAAUCCCUAACGAAAAAUGCAAAACACAUUAACAUUAAAUGCAAAUGCUGCGUACAUUUUUUUAUUUUUUUUUUCUCUGCCAUCUUAAUACGGAUUCUAUUUAUCUACCUACAAACUACGUACUUAUAUCAAUGUUCAUAAUUUUCGCAUUGUUAAUUAAUUGAUACGCAAAAUAGGACGGACAUACUUUGCGCUUGGGUGCAACCUCUGUUGUUGGUGGGAAUUUGGGAAGGUAGGGUACAGACGGGAAUUUAACGUAUAUCCGUGUAAGCAACGAUAAACUAUUGAUAACGAAAAAACGAUUCCGAACGGAGUUUAGUUGAUAGUGUUGCUAUGUCCACUAUAUAUACAUAUAUGUCAUAUUAUUGUAAAAUGAUUACAACAGUUUUCGUUUCCAUGACAACAAUGAUUGUUUUAAAAAACAUUAAAAUAAUAACAACUGAAUAACAAAAAAUAAAGACGAUUGUCAGUGACAACCUUAUUUUCAAUCUUUUAAUCUUUUUUAACCUAAAGAACCAGGUUUUCCUCAUUAUCUCGAAUAUUGAUGAAAAUUUGAAAAAAAAGACCUCUUGAGCAUUUUCUUUCAGAAAAGAUGCGAUACUUGAUAAUCGGAGUAAGCUUUCUGGCAGAUAAAGUGUUCACAUAGAAAAAAAAAACAUCAUUGUAAAACCAAUACAUUCCUUGCUCCGCUCAUAAUCUAAAAAUGGAUAAAGGAAGUUUAGCUGUUUAAAUUGAAAUUGUAUUUUUGGACGUAAAUAAUAAAAUUAUCAUUUUACAAAAUUAAUUAUUAGCCGAUGGAGUUGUUGAAAAUUAAAACAAAAUUGAAAUUCGUAUCUUAAAAAAAAAAAACAGUUAAACAGAUUGUAUUUAAUCUUAAUAAUCGUAUGUUACUGCGAUUUUAUAUUUAGAAAUAUGCUUCAAUGUAAUCGCUAUCGAUGAUACAUUAUAUAAUUUUAGUUUUUGUGUAUAGAAAUAAGUUACAGAUCGAAAUUUAAAAAAUAAUAAUUUUUGUUAAUUUAUAUUUAUAGUUACACGGAUUGUCUAAUCAAAAUAUAAACUGUAAACAAAAGAAAAAUUUAUAAUAUUAUAAAGAUUAUAAUAAUGUACAUUUCAGUAAUACUUACUGAUUUAAUAAAUAGUGAUACCAUUUUAGAACUGUAUAAGUUUGGUUUUUUCUAAGUAGAUAAACAAGUAGGUAUUUAGUAUGUUGCCAUUUUUAUAUAUUGAACAUUUAGUUUUGGUUUAUUUAUUUUAGCCAGAAAAUAAUUUUGGGAGAAGAGAGGAGUUAUGGCCUUCCUAUACACCUAUUUCCUCCUUCUGAGAUGCCACUGCAUUUUAUAUUAUUAUAACCGUAAAUAUACGUACGUUCUUGUAGUCCGUCUGACCGGAUGUGGUUCGCUCUCUGCAGUUUCGAUAUCUCGGGUCAAGCCUUUAUUUGCGUUCACGGUCACGUCUCGUUAGAACAAUAUUAUUAUUUCCCCUCGAUUUUCUCCACUCGUCACUAUAUAUACCCAGCACCCGUUCCCUUAUCCUUGAGCACUAAAAAGCUCAAAGUGUAACAAUCAUUACCGAAAACACACACGCAAGGUGUGUAUAGGUAAUCCCUCUUGUAAACCUCCAAGACGCAUAUGGUGUUCUCGUUCGUUUUCAAGUGUAUUUACACAACACUAUACACAGCUGUGGUGCUUUCGGGCGCGCUCUAAAUCCAAAACCAAUUCUCUACCCCUUACAUUAUUCGCUUAUAUAGGUGAUCCAAAUAGGGCGUGUGUGUGUGUGUGUGUAUGUGUGUGUGUGUCAACUUACUCUUUGUUUUGUAAUCGAUUCUAUACGGCUAAAAAGCGAUUUCAUUUCGAUAAUACUCAUUAAUUUCAUUAUAAACUUUAAAAUAUAUUCCGUUUGCAGAGCGCUUAUUUAAAUCUUGUCAAUGCGCAUUAUUUAUUUGCCGGAAAUAUUUCGCCAUUAAUUAUACCUGCUUUUCAAAUAUUUUAUAUAAUUAUAUGCAUAUUAUUAUAGAUUUAGAGAUUGAAAAAAAGAAAAUGCAGCAGAGUAAACGUUGAUUAACGAAUACAAUGAUUUGUGUUGCACUUUUUCUUUUAAUACUAAAUCAAAUCAUUUAAUUUUAGUAGUUUUAGAAUCUGAGUGUAGCGAAGAAUGUAUUUGUUUCUUUGUUUCACUAAUAUGUUUAUUUUUUUUUUAAAUUUUUUUUUUAUGCUAUGUACAAAAAUUCUACAAGAAAUCUUGUUCAGAUAUAUACACACGGCACCAUUUCAGAAAGGUAAUGUUGUCCAGAUGGUACUUUUUGGAGGUAAUUUUUUUUAUUUUCCAAGCGAUUUUCAUAAUACCUGGGAAUAACCAGAAUAAAAGUCAAGAAAAACGGGAAAUUAUUACGAAAAUAAUGCUUUUGUUAUUUUUCAAUUUUGUUAUUUGUUGUAAUUCAGUUAAAAAUAUUCGUAGAGAAUUGAAAUUUGGACAAAAAUACAUAUUUGCCUUUUCUAGAAAUGGUAAAAUUUUCAAAAAAUUUAAUCCAUUUUUAGCUAUUUAUAGACAUAUUAAUUUUGUGAGUUUUGAACGUAAUUUUUAUACGGUAGCUACUCUGUAGUAAAAUUGUUAAACUUAACAGAAAUGAUUCAAAAUUUAACAGGAGGUUCAUUAUGAGCCUUUAUCUGUAGUCAAAAAAAAAAAAAAAAUUGAGUAAUGUAGUAUUUUUUUUUAUAAGGGAAUUUUAAUAUCAAAUUUUAACGGAAAUUGUUUGAGUAAAAAAUUAUGUGGAACAAAUCUAAUUUUUCAAUUUUUUUUUUUUUGAACAUAUCUAUAUGUAUAUUACCGAUUUAAUAACGAUGGUGAAGUCAGAAUUAAGCGGACCUACUAAGUUUCGAUAUUGUAGCUUUUUGAAAUUCUGAUAGUAUGCGUACAUUAUAUGUUAUGUUAAAUAACUCUGUAUUAUCUAUGUAAAAACAUAUUUUUCGUGAUGUAUGCUAUGGUUAUUUAUGCUUAAUCCUAGGGGUUCAGAGUUCGAAUCAGUGUGUCGAAUAAAUAUUGUUUCCAUAUUUUUCCCUUUAUACUUAAAUAAGGAAAAACAAAUGCAUUUUGGGUAUACCCAAGCCAUCGCUCGCUCGGACAAUUUUAAUCGUAAAAUACUCUUCGAUUUGUUGUGCAAACUUUUCUACCAGAAAUCUUGCUCCAAUACACCAAAUGUAGCUCAUUUUCCGAAAAAAAAUAUUAUCUCCAUGGUAAUUUAGGGAGGUUAUUUUUUGAUUUUUCAAGCGGUUUUUAUAAUAUAUAGGAAAAGCUGGGAUAAAAUAUAGGGAAAACGAAAAAUAUACGAAAUGUAGGUAUUAGUUGAAAAAUAUUUCGGCCUUCUUUUUUCCUUUGAACAACUUUUCUACAUGCAAUUUUGCUUUGAUUUACAAUAAUAGCACUUUUUCUGAGAGGAAAUCGGAUGGGGAAGGUAUUUUAAGAAAGUCAUUUUUCAGUUUUUCAAGAGUUUUCCCAGCAAAUGUGAAAAACCGGGAAAAAACAAAGGAAAACCAGAAAAAAUGUAAAAAUUGGUACAAUAUUAAACAAAUAUUAUUCAAAUAAAUAUAUAAUGCCUAUUUUAUUAUUUUACCAUAAUAUAACAUAAUAUAUAUUGUUGACAACGUAUCACUAUCAACUGAACUGCUCUCAGUCGUAUUUUCGUUAGCAAUGGUUUAUCGUAACUUACAGAUACUCGUACAUUAAAUUACCUAUAACAGUGGCUGCACUCGUAUCCAUUAUCCUAAGACGUCUUUUUUUUAAAAAUUGUAUUUUCAAUACAUACAGUUUAUAAAUACAUUUUUACAAUGAGGAUGUUUGAGGGUAAAAAUUUGUAUUGGCUUGAUUGACCUGAUGAAGCAAUCGCCCAGUGAUAACACUUACUGACUACAGAGGAUUAGUUUUAUUUUAUGUCACGGUUCCAGUUUCUCUUUAACCUUUUAGGUGAGUUUCCUGGGAUAGAUUUAGAGUAAAGAGCAAAGAUUAUUAAAUUUGAGUGGUUUGCAAGACGGGCACGGAAUAAUUGGUAGGAGAUUUUGGAUGCUUAUUAAAUGAUAUGAAUUUUUAAGUCCGAAUGUAAGGUAUGAUUUGAAACAUGAUGUGGAACACAUGUAAUCAUUCGUAAUUAGGUAGAUUGGAAUUUCAGUAGUAAUUUGUUUUUUUAAUGUUAUACAAAUGUAUCCGUAAACAAUAAUAUAUCGAUAAAUUGUGUUCAAUAAAUGUGUUUAAUGUGUCAUUAGCGCCCAUGAAGUAACAAAUAUUCCACUAUGUCACCGUAAAAUAUAAAGUGGAAUGACAGUAAAAAUUAUAUGAUGGUAAACUUAAUUUAGAUAGAAACUUCUGUGAAAAUGUAAAGAUAGUAUAUGUUCACAUGCGUAGGUAGUUAAACCAUUACUAUCACGAUAGUAACUAUCAAAUGUCACACAUGCUUUGAUUAUAUAUGAUAAUUGUUUUCAGAAUAGUUCAAAGGUUCAAACGACGAUAGUUACACGAUGUAACUCGUUUUACGGUAAAAUACUACGCUACACCGACCAUUUUUUGACAAGCCAUAUUAUGAUUUAUCAUAUUAUUAUUCGUGUAAUCAAAAUAUACGGCCAUUCUUAAAUGAGUGGUAUAAUAAUCAUGGAGUUCGAUUAUGAUAAUAUUUUCGUAAUGUAUUCAUAUAAUGUUUAAACAAAGUGGAUAUACAUUAUACAUGGAUUUUUUUUUUUGAUUAUUUGGUCCGUAGACUUCUGAGAUUUAAAUUUACAUAAAUAUUACAUCACAGCUAUAAGAAAAUUAUUUUAUAAAUUGCUUUAUUUAUGAUGGUUACUUUAUAAAAUCGGAUUAUUAUAGGUAAUCGUUUUCGUUAACAAAGAUGAAAAUAAUAUGUAACGGCUUUGUGAAUUUUUUUUUCUAGUUAAACUGUGGACAUUUUUAAAUUACAAGAAAUGUAUACACCUUUCAGUGUUUUCUGGUCUUCAACUAGUUCUCGGGUUUGUAUUUUAUCUAGGUAUUUAAUUAGUAAAUAUUAGGUUUAAGUUUUUUAUUUAUUUUUAUAAUUGGUGGUUUUAAACAUCAAUGUUUAGUUAGUUGUCGAAAUUUUAAACAUAAUAUUUAUUUAGCAAUCUGCAGUAUAUAGUCAAAUCUAAGUUGCAUAGGCACACCCUAUGUAAAAAUAACAAUUUAUUGAAGUAAAUACAAGUUGAAAACUUUCUCGACCGCGAGUUUUUGUAUUUAUUCAUAACUGUUUUCAUUUGCUUUUUUCGGUGAUAGAAAUUUUAUAUUGUUUUACUUUUUUUAUAUGUAUAACUUAUGCAAAGUAACCAGUAGAAUAUUAAUUAAAUGAUCUUAACAAUAAUAUUUAUUUAAGAUAAAUGUUAAACAAUAACCAAAAAAAAUCAAUAUUUCUGUUCCCAUUUCUGGUAUUUUAAAGUUUCUAAGAGAACUCUUGUCUGUUCUUUGAUAGGUAUUUUAUAAGAGUUUUUUUUUUUUUAAUACACACCAAUUACAUAUUUUUUUUCAGAGUAUACUCGUCUUAUAAACAAUACGUUUAUAAGAAUAAAAAUUAAACAUUUAAAAGUAAAUAGUGUAAAUUUGUUCUGAAUACAGUGCAGUAGGACGCAACAUAAAAAACAUGAAUUUGGCUUCUUUUUAGUUUUUAUUUUUCUUAGUUAUUGGUAUCUUUUUAUUUUUUAAUAUUUUAAACAUAUUAAUAUGUUUUAAUUUAAUUGAAUUUAACUAAAUCCAAUUCAUUAAAUUGUAUUCUUCUAACGGCAUAGGUAAAUUAUUUCAUUAUUUAAGCACCGCUCGUCAAAUAUUCAAGGCAUUUAUCCGUUUAAUAACAGUCAUUUCGGUCUAUAAUAAUACAACGUCAAUAAAGUUUUGGAUCAAAUUUUUUACAUCAAUAAUUUUUUCAUAAUAUAUCAAUGAUUUAUCAUCAACUACUCAGACAACACUGAGUUUAGUCAGAAUAAGCAAAAGAAAAGUAUAAACAAACGUAGAGUCAGCUAGAGUAGAACAGGAAAUAAAGUUUCAUAGAAAGAACAUGAAAUAUUCUCCGAUAAAGUUUUCAUCCAUCGUAAAUAGUGACAAAUCGUACAAAGACGUUUCGUUUAAUUUCAGUAUCUUAUAGUAUCUUCAGUAUACUUUCAGUCUUCGUUUAUUAGUAUCUUCUUAAAAAAAAAUUUUGUCUGAAUGGUACUUUAGGGAAGCUUUUUUUGGAUUUUCCAAUCUGUUUUCAUAAGAUCUGGGAAAAACUGUGAAAAAAAUGAAAGAAAAAUUGAAAACUGUUUGUGAAUGUAUAAAAGAAACUUUGCUCCGAAUCGUUUUUCGUUAGCAAUGGUUUAUCAUUGCGUACAGAUAUAUAUUAAAUUCCUCUUGUAUCCUACCUUUCCAACUUCUCACUUACAACAGUGACUCACUCGUCGUGCGAAGUAGAUCCUCUUUUUCAUUAUGAAUUUAUCAAAAUAAAUAUUCGAUUUUCUAAAUUUAUCAUAGUCGAAAUCUGAAAUAUCUUAGGUUUAUCACAUUUGCAUCAAGACUGAAAACUUAUGAUUCAUAAAAAUAUAUACUCCAUACUAUCGAAACAAAUUUCCAUUAUGUGAGGGUCGGUUUCAAAUUUCUGGACAUUGGAGAUUGUGUAUAAUUUUUUAAUUGUGGUUUAAUUCUAAGCGAUUGAACAAUUCUUGAAAGGAACAUUUAUUCCAUUCACUAAAAUGUACAGUAUUGACACUAUUGGGUUAUUAUAAAAAGGUAACCAAUGCAUAGAUUCUGGUAUUUAUUAAAACAGAUAGAUGUGCGCUAUUUCGGUUAUAAUCACAUAAGUUAUGAUGUAUGAUAAUUAAAAAUUUACUAUGUAAAUAUCUUAGUUUAAUAUCAAUCAGUGAGUAAAAGAAAUAACACUACUAUAGUGUUAGCAUUUGACCUGAAAAAAUUUGAUUACCUACUUACGUAUAUUAAAAAUGAUCAAAUAAUUUAAAACUUUUUUGGUUGUGAAGCAAAAACUGAAAAUUUAAAAUUUAUCUAUGUUUUUCUUUUUCUAUUUAUAUUCACAAAAUAUAAAAAUUAUCUUACAGCGAAUAAAUUUAAAUACCCGCCCAUGUAUGGUAAAAAUGAUUAAGUAAUUUAAAACUUUCUAGAUUGAGAAAUAAAAUUAUAAAACUCAUUAUAUUUGGUAAAAAUAUUUACAUAAUUUUCUCAUUGACUUGUUACUAAAUAACUUUAAAAAGAUGUCUAUUUUUUCCUGCUACUAAUAGAUAGAUUGUUUGAUGUUUAAAGCACAACUGAUUAGUUUUCUCCCUAUAAACUUGAACGGUAGUCGUGUCUUAUUAUUACGUAACCAAAGUAAUAUCAUCGAAUGGUUGGAGUGCGUCAUUCAUUCUACUGAAUAACAAAAAUAGUACAAGGUAAUAUACUCGGGAUCACGUUACACUGUCUGAUAGAGCGAAAAAAUGUAUCUAGUGAUGUGGGUGUCUGAUCCUUCGAUCAGGCUACUUUAAAUAGCAGAAUUGACCUAUGAAUUGGGUACGUUUUUUUCCGUAACACAAAUUUACACUUUGGUUAACGCAAUCUAUUUUCCAUGGUCCAUGUUCUUUCCAAAAAUUGUCUAUAAUUGUCAAAUCGCUUAGUGUUUGAACCGGGGGCGUCUAAUUUAAGCACGCUUCACCCGGACAUCUAAUACUCGUACUUCGCGUACACCACGGUCACGCUCAAUCGGCCUGACCGACUGACUAUGUGUAAAUAUUAAUGUAAUUUUGGUAUGUGUAGCUCGGUCAGAAGUGGUUGGGAACGCCGCGCAAAUUCUGACGAGUUAUGUGGUUAAAGUGACGAGUUGAAGUGUUUUCCGAGAAAAAAACAAGUCUCAGUAAAACUGAUAACUUUUCCUUUCACUCAGAAUUAAAAGAAAAAAAAAAGGUACAAAACAUUUUUUUUUGAAUAUUAUUCACUACCACUACACUAUAAUAAUAAUAAUAGUAAUAAAAUUAUAGGCCUUUUUGUAGUUAUCGUCAUUUUUUUCAUGUUACGCAGAAACAUUAGACCGUGCACCUUUUUACGUAAUGCCUACUAUAUAAUAAAAUUGUAUAUAUAGAAUUUAAUUUUAUAUAUUCGUAUAAAAACACUACCCCGAGAUAUUAUACUUAGCAGGUAUAUAUUUUGGAAUACAGUGUACACGGGGAUUUAAUUAAAUUAACUGCGAGAAGUGCGGAGUUUAAAACCCAACGGUCCAUAAACGUGUCCUGCUCGCCUUAUGCAUAUAUUAAUCAAUAAGCGCAAAUAAUACUUAACGCCGUGCUGACUUUCGGUUUUAACAUUAUUAUUAUUAUUAUGACUCGGAAAACGACCCAUUAUGUUUAAGUGUAUAUAUAUAUAAACACACCCGACAUCAUUAUGAUUACAAUGUUUUUAUAGGACAUUCUCAGUCGCCGUCGUUGUCCCCGUUUCUUUGCAGUAAAUGUCAUCCUAUAACUGUCCAAAUGACACGUAUAACCUUAUGCCGUCAAAAAAUAAAAUAAAAUAAUAUACCUAUAAUAUAACAGUACAACAGCGUGUGAUGUCUGUGUGCGAAAUGUUUUAAACUAUAUUAUUAUAUAUGAUAUUUUGAUCGUCCGUUAAAAUAAUAACAUGUACCUUAGGUGUACCUAUAUUAACACGUCUGUUGAGCGAUACAGGAAGCUUUCGGCUUCCAAAUACCAGACAACAUCUGAUAAACAAAUAUGGGGUGACACAACCUGAACGAAUCGUUCGGAGAAGGAUGGUAUACAUUUAAAACAAAUUUCUGAACAAGUUUUUUUUUCCGCGUAAACGUGAAGUAGGGAACACUAGUUUUUACCACGCCCAAAGACGGUUAUUCUUUACGUUUGAAUAACUGUAAUUGCUUUUUUUAGUCUCAUGAUAAAAUUAAUGCCAAGCGUAUAAGGUAUGUACAUUAACCUAAUCUAACCUAUAUUUUCUUUUAUUUGUAAAAUGUACCUAUAUAAUAUUACUUGAAAUAGCUGUUAUACUUAACAUAAUGGAAUAUUUAUGAUACCACUAAACAUUUUUUUCUGCCGAGCAAAUGAAUACUUAGGAAUUUAAUUACUUAUGCGUUUUUUACGAUUAUGUCGACGAGAUAUGAAUACCCAAAUUGGCAAUAUUUUAAAGAAUUCACAAAUAUUGUGUAUAAAAUAUACCGUGUCUGCUUGUUUUUGAUAAUUUUAUGGAUACAAUCUAUGGAUAGCGUUUAACAAAAGAAAUUGUAAACUUAAACAAUUUUAAAAAGGAAAAAAAACCAAAACGAUAGUUAAUACCAUUGAAAAUAAUUAUUGUAAGUUUUAACGCUAUUAUUAUCGAAUAUUUUGUAGAAGAUAUGCUAUAAUUCAUAUCUUUUUUUAUAUUAUAAUUACAGUUGUAUCGAUCAAACAUAUAAUAAUACGACGUACCGUAUAUCUUAACUCUUAAGUCUUAAGUAGAAAAUGGGAAAAUAAUUAGGAGGAAGUUAAAUUAACUGUAGAGUUUUUCCGCUAACAAAUUAUCAACGGUUUUUUUAAAAUUAAAUAGCGUUUUUAUCGUUCACGUACGACAUUUUUUCACGGCGAGUUUAUUUCGUGUUUUUUUACUUACCUUUAGCCGCCAUCUUCUCUAGUGUGACAAUACCGUGGGGUCUGAGAAAGUUGUUUAUAAUAAAAUAACCUCGGUCUGGCGCUGCGGAAUAUUAUUAUUUGUCACGGUCCACGAAGUUUGCUGACGGGUCAACGGUAAGUAAUUAUGUUAUUAAAUUGACGAAAAUAUUAUUUGGCACGUGGCUAUAUAGUAUAUAGGCGCGUGUCACUCGGUUAGUCGGAUGUGUCGACGUAUAAUAUUAUAACGGUGCGACUUGACUGUGUAUAAAAGAUUCCUCGAGGGCAUUUUUCAAGUAGGUUUUCUUUUGUUUGUUCGUUCUUCCCUCUUCCGUUUCACCCUAACCACGACCAUCAUUUUACCGUUGAUACAAUUCGCUACAACACACUCUAAUAAAGAAGGUUGGCAUCGGGAAUUAUACAAGAUGUGGUUGAUGUGCCCGGAUGACGCACACGAUAAAACCGAUUUCGCCGUGUUUGAUAUGUCUGCAGUUUAACAUCUCCCCCCUCAUCUCCGAGGCUUUUAUUUUUAAUAGCACGAUCUACCACUGUUUUUCACUGUAUAGUUAUACAAUUUACGUUUGUGCUGCUGUAAACUCGAGUGCCGAUUUCAAACGCAAAUCGUACACAGACAAUUGCGAUUUUUGCCAUACGAAUGCGGUUUCUUCGUUUCACAUUUAUUAAGGUAUAAUAUCAGGUAUCCGGCACAGACGUGGAUUGGAGAUAUUUUAAAAUCUGUAGUAGUUUAUGCAUUUUUUCACAGAAGACAUAUGUAUUAAUAGUGAAACGGCCUUAUAGUCUAAUACUUUAGUCUUUAGAUCCAACAAUUUUUGCGUUUGAACGGUUUUUCAUUAAUUUUUUACUACAUUCCCAUACUCUGCUUUAUGUUUGCUGGUAUCCAAAUAUUGUUGAAAACGACGUUUAUAGAUUGUACUGGUUACACAACUGCAAUAUGAAGUCUACUAGUAAAAAUAGCGUCGCUAAUUUCCCAGGAUUAUGGUCUAUGGCAAAUGCAUAGAGAACGUUCACUGAGCGAUCAAAGUGGGCAAUUUCGUUACUAGUAAUUGAGUAACAUGCUAAAAUAUCAAAAUUGUGCGAUUCCCACCGAUACUGGUCGUUCGUCGGAACACUUUGGUAUUCAGCAAUUGUUGGUAAAAUGAGAUCUCUGUUUAGAUCCAACUGAAAGUGCUUUUUCUACAUACAUUUACGUAGAUACUCAAGAAGAACAAAUUUUUCUUUAAUACAGUCGUGUGACCAGUAUAAUAUCAACGAACGGUAAUAUCUACAACCGUGUUGAACAUAUAUAAACUAUAAUUGGGACUAUGGGUAUGAUAGGACCUAAACUGUAAACGCUAUUUUCUUUCCAACUAUUCAUGUUGUUAUCUUUGUUUUUAAAUUUACUUCUCUUUUUCUGUCUCGGACUUCUCCUAUCUCUGUUAUCAGUCCAUUUCUGUGUAGAUCUUUGUGCACAGGCAAUUCAUCAUACUAUAAUAUUAUUCACUAAAAUAACAAUAAUAAUGAUAAUAUUUUAUCGCGUUGUCUUUCGAGUAGUCAGGUAAUUCGGAACAAAACGAUUCGGCGGUCGCGGCGUUUCGUAGUCCUGCCGCAGCUAGUAGAUAUACAUCAUUUUUUUAUUAUCAGCACAAUCCGUAUUGUCCGAGUCGAGAGUCGGAUCUAAAUCACCAACGUCACGUACACGAUGUCGAAUUACGAGCCGAGGAUAUUAUUAUACUCUGUAUAUUAUAUCCAUAUACGUACGAGCUUUAUAAAUCUGGUUGGAAAUCCCUUCAUGCAGCGCCUCCUUGUACCGCCGCCGUCGUCGUCAUAAGCCGUGCGCGCGCGUUCAUAUCAUGUCGGACAAAAAUAAUGCCCGUGCUCGUUUUAUAUACGGCCGGCCUUUCUUGCGGCAGCAUCGGGUAGUUCGGGAAAAAAGGUCGGCACGCGAAACUUAUGGGAGGGGGGACAUUUCGCGAGGAAAUAAUAUUAUUAUUAUUAUUAUUAUUAUUAUUGUAGAGAAAUCUCUCUCCCGCGACCGACUCUACGUUGUAGACUUUCGUAACCCGGCCGUGGCUCACGCGAAUAUUAUGUACGUGAGUAUGGUUAUGUUGUGUGCCAUCAUAUGAUAAUAUAUAUGUUAUUGUUAUAAAUUCGUGCGUAUAGGUACCAUCACGCUCGUGAAUAUAUUUAUGCGGCAUACGUUUUCGGUAUUAUAGGACACGCUGACGAAGUUUUCCGGCUCGGUUAAGCCUGCUGCAGCAGUACCAGCAGUGUAUAGCAGCUAGGCUAGCACAAAUCGUAUUCUGUGUACAAAAAAGGGAUGCGCGCCACUCCAACCACUCCGACCUACCCUCUCCACCCUCAUAAGGAUAAAAUUUAAUUUGUACGAUGCGUCGCCGGAACGCGGAUUAUAAACACAUUGCUCGAACUCGACCGACCGUCAAAUGAAACCGAUUCCCAAACGGGCGUUCGCGCGCGCAAAACGCAUAAUAUAUUAGACAAAGCGUACAUUAUACAACUAUUUUGUUUCGAAUAGUUUAAUUGAAUGGAUAUUAUUUUGUUGCGCGAAGACAAAAUAAAUAAAACACUUAGAAUAUUAUUGACAGGGAGACACGCGGGAAUAUUCGAAAUACCGCAGGCGCCUCAUCGUUCCAUACCGGAAAAUGGUAUGAAAAUGAUCCUAACACUUAUUUUUCAAUCCCGGUAUAACUCGUACAAAUACAAUAUAUGACGAAACUGACAAAAAGGUUUGUGCAUUUGUAUAGAGCCAAACGAGCAAAGUUAUAUUCACAUAAAUAGAAAAUGCGUACAAUAUAACACGAGCAAUGUAGCAGUAGUAGUAGUAUAGUACACAAAAUUGUAUUAUACAUUUACCGACAUUUUUUUUCCGGUUAACCCCCCCCUCUUUAUAACGAGAAAUUAAAAAAAACAAAAAUUAACUUUUUAAUGCAGUAAAUUGAUAACAUUUCCUACUAGAAGUUUAUGAGAUUGGAAAAAGAUAUCUGAUUGAAAAAAAAACACAUCAUAGUAAAACUUUGCCCAGAAUCUAAAAUAAAAUUUGCAACAUUCUUUUAGGAUUUCACUGAAGUUGUACGAAAAAGAAAUUGAAUGCUUCUGACAUAAUAUCGCACAAAAAUUCUCUUUCGCUGCACUAAUUUAUUAAAAAAAGAAAAGAGUUCUUAUAAUAUGUGUUCACAGAUUUCAAUUUCCAUACUAUAUUCAUGAUUUUACGAUCAUGAUCUGAGUAUAAUACAUAUUAUUAUUAUUAAUAUAAAAUUAACGUAUUUAAAAUAUUAAUAGAACCUUUAUAAAGAAAGCUUGAGCCUACAUGAUGCGUAGAAGGGCCGUGUUCGGAAAAUUUCCCGUAACUCGGUGAGCUCGUACGUGCUUGAUUAUAUAAUAAUUUUGUGUAUAGUAAUACAUAGGGUUAGAAACUUCUAGCAUUUGCAUAUAUUUUUUAAAAAGAUUAAUAAAAUACCUGAGUCAUACAGGAGUAUUGUUCAUGAUAUGAAGAAUCUAAAUCCUGAAUUUUAUUUUGUAUACGAGUGUAUUACAGUUUUUGAUUUUUAAAGCGUAUUUUAGCAGUAUGUAGCUUUUAAGUGCUAUAAAAGGUCAUAUACUUAUAUGUCAUAUUAUAUGCCACGUAUUGUAUACGUGUUUUUUGAUUUACACUGUUCAAAGACGAAUAAACAAUCGUAGAAAAGUUAUUUUUCGCGAUAAAGCUCGCAUUUCCCGGCCUUUGGAUAAAAUACAUUUAGAUUAAUAUUAUCUAUAUGGACAACAUUCCAUAAUUUUAUAAAAUCGUUGUUAGUCGACCGCUGUCUCUCGUAACUACUUGUUUACGUUGUGUAUAUAUAUUAUUAUAGACAUAGUUCAAUUUUAUUAUUUCGUGGUUUUUAACAUAAUAAUAUAUUGGUCCCUAUAAGACAAUUAAAUGGUGAUAACAAAAUUGCCAUUAUAUUUUUUAGAAAUAAAAACUACAGGUUUGCCGCAAUAAUUCACUAUGUUAUUCAAGUUGUAAAAUUUACACCGUCGUUUAAUGUUAAAACAAAACAAAACAACAAAAAAAAAAAAACCUUGUUAAAAAAGUAUGGAGGUAUAUUCAUUUUGUUUAGAAAUGUUGUGUUUAAAACAAAACGAAACAAAAAAAAAAACCGUUUAGUUUUCGUCGUGUUGUUUUGUAUCCCAAAGAAGAGAGCGAAAAAAUGCAUCCUAACUUCAAACGUUUUCGUCGUUUUGUCGACGUGACAAAUGGCGUUUGUUUGCCCCUAGGAAAAAAAAAACAACCUCCAAACGAUUACUAACGGCCAAAAGUUGCACUACCACAUUGGGUCGAAUUUGUCCACAGGAUUUAUAAAGAAUGGUAUAUAAACUGCUGUUAAAACACGACCCGAGGGGGAUUCUUGCCCGUCUCUACGACUCGAGAGUUGGCCACAAUAAACACGUCGGGAACACCCAAGUUUCUGGAUGCUAAUUGCAAAAACUAUAAAGAAUUACUUUAGUAAAGUUUUAAGAGCUUAUUUCGGGCCGGAGUUCAAUGAAGUAUGAAUUAUUAUGGUUUGCAUUGUUCAUAUUAUUUUGGAAGCACGCUAUUAUUAUUAAUUUAUUAAUGUUAUUAUUUGUGUAUAAUAUUAUUAAUAUUAUUAAUUAUAAUUAACCAUACUGUAAUUAUUAAAGAAUAUUUUAAAUAAUCGUAAUCAUAACUAGGCAAUAAUGCAUUGCUCACUUAUGGGUACUCAAUUUAUAAAAAAAAAGUAUAUCUAUUAAGAGAAAGGUGUAUCUUGUCUGCUAAUCUAAAUAAUACAGUAUGGCAUUAUGUUUCUUCUUCGAUUUUACUUAUAAUUUAAUUUGACUUGAUAUAAAAAUACGACUGAUAUGAGUCUAGAUAGUAAUGACGGAAAAAAACCACGGAGAAAAUCAUAUAUUUAAAAAAAAUUAAUUUAAUUAAAUUGUUUCGCAUUUGGUUAUAUUUGUAUUUGGUCGUAUUUUCCUCUAACCAUUUUUAAUUUUACCAUUAUUACUGACUACUUUAUACAUAUAUAUAUAUGUAUAGCACUAUAAUGUAUUAAUUUAAUUAAUUAAUUAAUUAAUCGAUCGUAUCAUCAUAAUUCUCUCCGAAAAAAAUGGUGGACAAUGACGUCGUCAACUCUUAUAACUAUAUUACAAAUUCAGUAUGUUAUAUGUGUGAGUCUAGCUUGGUUUCCGAUACUAUUUCAUAGUUCACGUCAUAAACAAAAUAUAAUAAUUUUAUUGGAUAGUCAAUGAAAUUUAUUAUCUAAGUAUAAUAAUAUGACUAUCAACCUUCAUAUUAUAAGGGAUUUAUAAAAGAACGAAUGUGCCACUAUUUUAGAUACUAUAUGCAUAACGAAGUAUCUAUUCGUUAAACUAUUAUGAUGUGUGUGUGUGUAUUUUUUUUUCUGUUUAUAAACCACUUUUCUACCAGAAAUCCUGCUCUAAUUGAAAAAUGACAAUGUAACUUUUCUGUUAUAUUUUAAAUCGAGUUGACGCCUAAAGAUUUUUUUGAUUUUCUUAGAAGAUUUUACAAUAAUUGGGAAUUACAGAGAAAAAAUAGUAAAAAGAAAACUAACAAAUUUACGUCACGAAAGUAGUAAUUUGUAGUUUUAAGAUUAUAUUUUGAUGAAAUUCCUAAAUAUUACGAUGUUUCAAAAGUUGUACAGCCGGACUUUGCUCAAAAUUGUUGUUGGUUAGCAAUGGUUUAUCGUUCUAUACAAAUAAAAAUUAAAUAACCUUAUGUAUUUUUACCAUCCCAACUUCCUACCCAAAACAGCGGUGUGUCAAUUUUUUAAAUUUUAUUUUACCUUUACAUCUCUUGACUCCGGUACUCCAUCAUACAAUUGGCUAUCUAGUUGUUUUAUAUUUAUAACUUUAUCAUAAUUGUAUAACAUUAUUGUAGAAUUAUCACAGACUACACAGUGUACAAUUAGUAUUACAACGUUCUACAUACCUAUACAAUAUUAUUAUUAUCAUCGUAUAAACCGACCGCGAGAUCGAUUUAAGUAUAACUUAAUAACUUUGGGCAAUAAAAAAUAAAAAAAAAAAAAUAGAGAGAACGCGAGAGAACGCGUCAAGCAUUACUCACAAGUCCGCGUAGCACUUUACAUAAUAAUAUAGCGUGACAUUUAAAUUAUUAUUUUUUCGUUAGUGCGGUGGCGGUCGACUCGCAAUCGUAAUUAGGUAGCUUAUAUUCAUUUGUCUAAACUUUUAGACCGUACCCACACGGUGGUGCGCGUGCGUUAUUUUCUCAGCAAACUGUAAACAUUUAUUUAAAUCCAGUGUAAUAUACAUCGUGUAAUAACUUUAGAAUACCAGUACAAACCGCGGUAACCCAGAUCUGUAAUAAUAUAUCGCGUUAAAUUAUUAUAAUAUAAUGCGAUAUAAUAACGAUGCGAUAUUGUUCAUAAGUUCGUAUUAUAAUUUGUUAGAAACAUCAAGCCUUUAACGUUAUUGUUCAUUAUUAUUAUUUGUUUUUUUAUUUUAUUUUUUUACCUCCAUCACUCUAUACGAUAAAUUCUAAUUAUUUUAAUAACCACAUAAAUUCAAAUUAUUUCCUAAAAGUCACAGGUAUAAAACAUAAAGGGGUAGGUACGGUCUGCAGAGGUAAAAAGGCAUUAUUUAAUUACCGAAAUAUCGUGUUUACUCGAUAACGUUAUUAUUUCAUUUUUUUUCUUCUCAGAAAAUGUUUGAAAGCGUUGUAAAAGUGUUAUUUUUAAGUUUAUUUCGAAAAAUAAAUACAUGUGUAUAGUGUAGAUGAUAUGAUAUAUAAGUAAAUAGACCGUUUCCGGGUCUUCGGUCCAUCGGUUCUUUGGUAAAAACUGUUAGGAAUCCAGACACAUCAAAGUUCUUCUCUAAAAUACGUGUUCUGAAAUGUUGGUAGCAAUACCUACUUAAAAUACGCGGAAAGAAUAUAAAUCUCGAGUAAACGACCGUUUUAAGUUAAUAUGAAUUACGGUUUGAUAAAUUAUUUUCUUUUUUGCUAAUGUUUCGUAGUAAUUGCCUAUACGUCACCUCUUUAAUUAUUAUGUGUGCACGUCUAUACAAUUAAUAAUAUAUUUUAUGUAUUUCGAUUUGGAGUGCAUUUAAUACUUACUUUUGAUAUUGUUUUGGUACAAAAGAUAGACUUGUAAUUUAUUUAUACUUAAACAUAAACUAUAAAGUUAUAAGGAAAUAUUUUAGUUAAGUGUUUUGGAGAAAGUUUCCAAAAUGUACUCCAAAUUUGUGAAAUUUAAAAAUUAUUUUUUACCUUUUCAUGACCACCGUGUAAUAAUUGUACUUUUUCAAUUAUCCACUGUCCGAUAUCUAUUUAAGGGGAAUAAGUAUGGUCAUCUUUAAGGACGAAUAUUAUAUUGUUUCUGUAUAAUACCUAUAUUUUAGCAAAUAUGCAUAGCUGAUAAAUUGUUUAGGUUAUUAAAGUAGUCGAAUUUUCGAUUUAAAAUUUGGCGUAUUCAAAACAAUGUAAUGUAAUUAUUUUACGGAAUUUUCAAUUAUUAUAUAACAAUGAAAAUUGAAAAUCAAAUUGCUAUAGGUAUAACCUUUUGUUUACAGAACAUUUUUCAAAAAUUGUAUACCUACUUUAAAAAUUCAAAUUUUUCACUGAUAAAUAUGUUUAAAACUCAUGAAAAAUAAGCAUGUUCCAAUCACCUUAAUAUAAUAACGAACUUUCAUCGGGAUUAUAAAAAACAACGUUUAUACAUAAUUUUUCAUUAAGUCCGCGGUAAAUAUUUUAGACGCUAGUUUGUAACACAAACAUCUUUUAAUAAUUGCGAAUUCUUUCGUUAUAUAUUAUGAUGAUACAUAUAAUAUAACUGCAUUCAAAUUUCCAAUUACAUAAAUUUUGUUAAUGGUUUUCAUUUUUUUUUUUUUUUUUUUAAUAAAAUUAUUUUUCUUUGUUUCAGAAUCAAAAAAUAAAUCAAGAUUCAAUAAAAGUAAGCAUAUACAACAUUUCCAUUCGAAAAAGAAUAAUAUCUCGUAAAAUAUAUUUUAUAACAUCCCGUGAAAUGAACGGCUUUAGCCUCGUGAUCGAUAUUAUUCAAAUGUAAUAUUAUACAGGUACAUUUUUCUCACGAUAAUAUUAUUAUAUUCGUGUCGGACGCGGGGUAAAAUAUUGUGUUCUCUCGAUUCAUACAACUUAUAAUCUUACGGCGCACGAGAAACUGUUUCUGACACUAGCAGACGUGUGUAGGCACGAGUCUUGUAAUACUGUUAUUAUGUAUACGGCGAGGGUCAUUUUUGUGAAGCGUUCAAUAAUAACGUCGAGAGACGAGAAUAUCAAAAGGUAUCGUUUCUAUCGGGAAACGCGGCGACAGUAUAUAGUCGUACAUUAUUAUUAUGUCGUUUUGCUCACAUCCGAAUACAAAUCACCCCGUGAAAUACGAGGGAGGUGUAGGAGAAUCUCUAAUGCGCCUACUUCGUGCUCUUUCGUUAACUCUCAUUCUCCUUUAUGACGUGUACAUUGCAAAGACAGCUUUUUUUUUUAUAUAUAUAUACGGAGGGUUAUAGUCUUCGUAUAGUCGCCGCGUGCCAAAACCGAGUAUUAUCUUUUUUAUUUUUUUUUUUUUUACGAAACGUAUACAAAAGAGAAGAAAAAAAAAAUCUGUAUACAGGAACGGUAUGUGUCCAGACCGUAUAAUCGCCGGCGGCGCAGACGGCUGCUGGUAUAAUAUUAUUGAUCGUCUGGUUAUAAGCCUGUUGCCUCGGACGAGGCGACGACGGCGGAGCACUGCCAAGCUCCCGCCAAAUUCGGUUUUAUUGUCUGCGUGUCUCCGUUUUAGUCUGUACGUAGGUGGGUUGAGACGUGUGUAUGUGUAUAAUAUAAUUUAUACUUUACGCAGUUUAUACCUGUAUUAUGUCGAUAUUGCCGAUAAACAGGGGAACGAAUUGAAUGAAGGGGUCGCGAAUAUACUCGGGGUUCUAAGUUCUAACGGGGGUAGGUAUACGAUCUUAUAUAUUAUAUUUGCUUCUAUGCGCUCGCGGUCGUUUCCUAUAUACACACGUUGGUUAAUUAAUGUUGUACCAACAGCGGGAAGCCUUAUUAAAGUAUACACUCGUAUAUUAUUAUGGACUCGUGUAACGUUUUUAUUGACUUCAUUCGUAAAUCAAUAAUACAAUAAUAUAGUAUAGGCAGUAUUAUGUAACGUGCAAUAUAGUAUCAUAGGUAGUAUUCUAUGUAGGCAUCUUUCAGUAGUGAAAGAAGUACCUAGGUAGGUAAUUAGAAACGUAGUUAACACGCAAAUCGUAAAAUAGUGUACAUACAUAAAUACGGUCCAUAGCCCCUAUAUCCCACUCCGCCCACCCUGGCAAUGCCACUGCAGUUUAUGUAUAUUUUAUCACUAGAGCAAAUGGACUACAAUAGUUAACUUAAAAUUAUCUCUUUCUCUCUUCUUCAGCUGGUCGGUCCAUUAAGAUCCAUUACAGCUAUCACGAGUCCUCUCCAUCUUUUUUCUGUCGUAUUCCACAUUCAAACUUGUUUUGUCUUUUAUAUUUUGGUCAACAACGUCAAUUCAGCGGGUCUUAGGACUUCUUAUUGGUCGGCCUUUGUUAAUUUUGUUAAUCAGAACUUUUUUUUAUUAAUUGAUCAUCUGCUCUUCAAACAUGUCUAAACUAUUCUAAAUGUUUGCUUUUUAUAAACGAUAGAAUAUUUGGUUGUUAUAUAGCCUCUGCGAGUUCUGAUUUUUCCUUCUUUCGUAUAUCUAAGACUGUAUUACAGCUUGGGCUAUAUUUAUUUCUUAGUACUUUCUUUUUGUGGGUAAUUGGACGUCUGCUGUCUCUUUUGCUCAGUGACCAGGUUUCGCUCGCAUAUGUUAUCGAAAUUCUUAGAUAAUUAUGUUAAAGGAGUACUUUUAAAUUGCGUGAUAGUAUCUUCGGUUUUAGUAGUUUCAUAAAACUAUGGUAACACCGUUUAGGUUGUUGUUAUUUAUAUUAACGCCUAUAGGUACCUAAAUACAUCCAUUUUUCCAAACCUAUAGGUGUCAACUGCUGUGUAGUCUAUGUUUUAAAUUCUUCUUGCUACCAUUAAAUACACACACAAACCGAUGACCUUACUUUCCUUUAGAAGUUUGGUUGUUGUAUUUACAACUUCAUUUCUCGUCUCUUCCAUUACCACAGUAUCUUCAGCGUACCUACGUCAUUAUUACCCGUUCUCCAUUUCCAUUGUUUGGCCACCCCAUACAUUCAUCACUGCGUUUUCUAACAGUUUAAAAUUUAAAUCUAUAUAAAUAUGUGUAUGUGUUUAAUAUUUUUAAAUAUUAUUAAAUUUCAAACAGAGUUAUUCUUGAUUAAAAUAUUGCUACCAAUUAAGUCUGGAAAUCGAGCCGUAAAAAAAUGUUUAGUUUCGAAUAAUUCGUGUAACAUAAUUUUGAAUUACUCCAUCCACUUGUUAUAUAAUUAAAAGAACCAAUUCCAUUUAUUUAAAGUUUUACAAAGUGAUUCAUUAAGUAUGCACCGUGUCCACAUUAUUUUUAAGAAUAAAUUAUGCAUAUUAUAUUCAAAUUCUGAUUUUUGGAAUUUUUAAAUGUAGUUAAACACGGUAUUUUUGUGUACUUAGAUUUUUCACAAAAGAUUUAAGGAGUGCCAUGUAGCGAUACCAACUUAGGUUUUUCAAAUAAAAACUUAGCUACACUAAAAAUUUCUUUAAUAGAUGGAGUAAGUUAAAAUAAGUUUUGAUGUUUAAAAUUCAAAUUUGGUAUUGUCAACAGAAUACUCCUGAAAUUUUUUGAAAAAUCUAAAUGUAUGAAAAUAUCGUUUUUAGUUACACUUAAAAAGUCUCAAAAUUAAAAUUUGCAAGUACGUAUAAUUUACCCUUAAACAUCGUUUAAACAUGUUUAAUGAAUCAUUCUGUAUAUAUAUAUAUAUAAAUAUAUGCGAGUGUCGAGUAAAUACCUACCGUGUUCUAAUAUCAAUGUACUUUUUAUUUUUGUUAUAAUAUAAUAUUACUACAUUAUAUAUUAAAUGAAUGAUAAUUGUAUAGCAUUGCUAUUGCUAGCAAUGUUGCUGUGUUGUAUAGCAAUAUUGCUAUUGUAUAGCACGUAUAGUAGUAUCUUCGCAUAUUAAUAAUAUUAUGACAACUUAAGAAAUUUCUGUCAGUUUUAGUGACGAAUUAAAUUCUUUAGAAAACCGAAAGUUGGUAUGUUUUAACCGUACGUGCGUAUAUGUAGAGUCGCAUUCUUUGUACUCAUUCGGGAGCUAAAAGUUUUUUCAUUCUUUCCCUACAUAUAUGCUCUGCGACCUCGUGUUUUUAUAGUAGGAGAAAACUCUUGUAAACUCAUCAGUUGGUCCCUGGGGCGAAACGUGAUGUGAAUACUAGUGAUAUCCGGACGAAUUAACCCUGCCCCGCUGACUGUCGUGCGCUAGAUUCUGCUAUUAGGCUUCGUGUGUAAGUCCAUCAAAUUUCAUUAUGUCCGAACGAUUCAGUUUUGCAAUUUCGAAAGAUUUACGUUCUAAAAGGUUCGUCUUUUUGUGUGUUUACAGUCCGUAAACCCAACUAUAAGAACAAACGCACUGCAAUGAACUUUUUUUUUUUUUUUUUCAAUGAGCCCGGUUACGUGAUGUAAAUUAAAUAUAAUGCUUACUGAAGCAUUAGGUAUAUUUAUAUAGAUUUACUAAUACAACAUUUUAAGACGAUGCGCGAGAAUAUUCAAAUAGUUAUAAAAAAACAAAUCAAAUUUUCUUAUAGCUGUCAUGACCAUCAGUAUUAUGUCAACGUAAUUGUGUAUAGGUGAAAAAAAUAUAUUACGGGCAUUUUGGUAAAACUUAUAUAUUUCUAAAAAAUAAAAAUGUAUGUUUUUUCUAUAGAAAUUUUUUAUAACCUUAAAAAUCGUGUGAACAAAGUGGUCGUUUUCUGGUCAGACUGUAAUAAACGGAUCUAUUUGACAUUUUUUCUGCUUGUACCUUAAGUGCGGGGAUAAAGGCGAUUUUCUCAUACGUGCUCUGAAUUAAAAUUAUUCUCCGAUAAAAUAUUAUAAAACGAAUAUGACACUUUGCAGACAUACAUUUUAAAGGGUGAACAAAACAUAAAAUGUAUGUAAAUUUAUUUUAAUUAUUUAUCCACAGAACAGAACAUUUGUAUGUUAUAGAUAGGUUACUACUAUUAAAAAGUACACAAUAAUAUUUUUGGGGGGUUUUUCUUCAAACAAAUUUUAAGUAAAUCAAUUAUUUAAAUCUUAAAAAUUUUAUUGAAGUUUUAUCCAAAGAAAAUUGUAUAGAAAAACAUAAAUUAUAGGUAUUUCAUAGUUGUGUAUACAAUAGUUCCCUUGUCAUUAAUUUACUAAUUAAUUAAUUGAUACGAGUAUUUCGGUCGAGUAUUUAGAUUCUGUGAUUCUGAUAUUAUUUAUCAAAUCUUGUAAAUCUUUUACUAAGAUGUGUGUGUUAUUAAUUUCAGAAAACACUUUUUUGGUUAAUACAAAUAUUCUGAUUUGUUCAUGUCAUAUCCAUAAAGAUGAGGGUUUGAUAGUACUUCACUUAAAAUAUUUUAAGUAUUUUCUACAAUCCAUCCCUAGAAUUUUAUUUUUAUUUUUGUCGAUUUUCGGGUUCUCGUGGUAAUUAGGGAAAAACACGAAUUAUACUACUCGUCUUAAUUUAGAUUUUUUGUUUUCAAUGAUUUACCUAAAUUUUCCAACAUUUUAGUAAUUAAUUAAUUUCACAUAAUUGCAUUAAAUUAAAAUAUACUAGCUUAUGAUGUUUCGUCGGUAUACGUUGACUGCAAAUAACUCCGCUGUUUAUUAUACUUUUAUUAAUGUAUUAACGACUUGUUAACGCAAUAAAAGCCUAUUUGUCUGGUAAGACACAUAAUACUAUUACCCGGCAUGCUGUAUACAUUAUAAUAUAAUUAUUGUAUACAUUGCUGUAUAAUGUAUAGUUCAACAGUUGAGAGCAAACUUCAUCUGUAAAAUACUUUAUGUAAUUUCUUGUAAGUCAGCAGAUUCACAAUUCCACACCAUCCAUACUAUUUUCUACUAUAAUUUGUAAGAAGACGUUAAACGCCUCUAUAUAUAAGUAUAGAGUAGAGUUGAACAAAGACAAUUUUGAAAAAACAAAAUUAAAAUGUAUUGGUAUUAAUAAACACAAGAUAGUAUUUAUAAAUUAGUAAUUAUAUAAUUAUAAUAUACAAUAAUCAACGUGUAUAGUUAAUUCAAUACAAUAUUAACGCAAACAUUUUUAAAAAUAAAUAAACUUCAAAGAGAUUUUAUAUGAAAAUAAUAUACUUUUAAUAGAUACUUAAAAUAAAUAUUAUAGAGGGUAGUAUUUCCGACUCGUUUUGAGGAUAGUGGUCGUUUUAAUGCUUAGAUAUUUUUUUUAUGAAGGUAUACUUUAUUUUUGCGAGAGUUUCACUUGAACACAUUUUUACGGCUGGACUUAAAUUUAACCUAUUGUCUUCUCAACUAUUAAUUUUUUUUUCUGCUCUGCUGUGGUCGUUAUUACUAUAAUGCCUAGUAUAAAAUUCACAGCCCAUAUCUAUAUUCUACAUGGCAAUUUUCUCUAUUAAAUUUUCAGCUAUACCGAGAACGGAUCCAGGGGGCCUAGGAGCCCAGCCCCCCCCAGACAUAUUAUUUCUCCAAUUUCUUUAAGAGAACUGUAUGGGGAAAUAAUGUGUAUAAUGUAUUAUAUUAUAUUUUAAAUGUAUUUAUGUUAUAAACAAAUUGUUGCCCCCCAAGAUCAUUGUUUUGGAUCCGUGCCUGGACUCUACUGUCUGUUCUUCAUAAAAGCCGUUUCCAUAUAGGGUGUUCUUAAAUCAUCUGUUAAACUAAAGUUAACUCAAUUUAAGAUUUUAUGGAUUAUUGAUGAAUAAAAUUAGUUUUAAAUAUGGCCAUAUAUCAAAAUAAAUGUUCGACGAACAUGUUCGGUUUCACAUAGUCUUGUAAAUAAUAAUUUUUAAAUUUAUUCAAAACACAUUUUUUAAAUACGUUUUAUUUGAAAUACGUAUCCAAAUACUUUUUUAAAACUUAUUUGUGUAUAAAUAAUAAAUACAAAUGCUUGUAUUCAAAAUUUCAAAAUAUUUUACAAAUUAUGUUGUUUACAAUACAUUUUUUAUGCCAUGAAUUAUUGGCGAAAUCCACAAUUAUGACAAUAUUAAAUAAUAUUAGACAUGUUUUGGCGAUGUAGUUUUUGGUAACCAUUUGGGAAUCUACAAUUUGCAUUAACAGGUAGUAAAAGAAAUGUUCGUUUCGUGCACCAAUGCAAAUGAUCGAAAACAUAGUUUUUAAUUUCCACCAAAAUCACUAUAUCUACGUAUCAAUUAUUUCAGCGGUGUGAAUUAUGUCCAGUUUAUUUCCUUACAUAACUCGAUGUUUAAUUGAAAAAUGAAUUACAAACGUAUUUAAAAAUAUUGGUGUACAUUACACAUCUCGUUUAUAUUUUGGUGUAAAUUGAUUAGACUCAAAUAGUUUGCUGCAUUAUUUUCUACUUGGUUGUAAUACCGUGAAAACAUUUUGUUUACUCUGUACAAUAUAGUAUUUCACCAAUGGAUAAACAGUAACCGAAGACAGCGAAUGUAGUUUUUAAUAAUAUUGUUUGCCGAUUUCGAGAACCUGAUUGUCGAAAAGUGCAUCCAGUCGUCAAACAAUUAUUGCAGUAAACAAUAAUAAUACCACCAAAACAGUUUGUUCGCUAAACUAGUACCUAAACUCAAAACGGCAUCACCAAAUCACGCGCCUACAUUGUGUACAAUUGUCUAUAUUAGUGUAACAAAUUUAAUAUCGUACACAACGAUAGUAAUAAUAUUAUUAUUAUGUAAUAUAUGUGUUGCGGCGGCGGAAAAGUUUGUCUUUGCUGAUAUUAUAAUAUAAUGAUAUAUGUAUACCUACUAUAUACAGGGCACUUAUAUUGUAAUGUCGCACGCGGCCGUGGGACAAACAUUCGGCAAAACUGAAUUACGCGCACUAGCUGCUAUAUGCGAGGGGGCGGUACCCAGACGGCGGUGGCUGUUGUUCGCGCCGGGCGAACAAGUCGGUGUACACAUAAUAUAAUAAUAAUAAUAUACAGGGUGUCUUAUUUACGAAGUUUACGUGCACUAUGCGUGACGGUAGAUUUCACUACAGUAUAUGUUUUGUCCCGGAAAAGAAAAGCUUUGGUUAAUUUUGUUAAAUUUUCAAUUUUCAAGCAAAUUACAUUUUGAAAAUACUCCUGAAUGGGGUUAAAUUGUUUAAUAGCCUAGCCUAAACGACCGUUCUAAAUGGAUAAUGAUUAAAUGACUUAUUAAAUACUUUUUUUUGCCGCCAAAUGAAAAAGCGCAUAAUAGUUACUGUAGAUAUUUUCAUUUUUAAUGUAACUAUACACGUGUUAGAAUGUAUACAAAAUUAUCAAAAUUUUCAUUAAAUGGCCAAAAGUAAAAUAAAGUAUGCAACUUUUUGUCCCGUCCGGUGGCGUUGCCUUUGCUAAUUAAAAUCUCCACGUUUUUUUGGAGAAUUUUUUCCGAAAAGAAAAUUUUUCCUGUUGUACUGCAUUGUUUUCUUCUUCUUUUGGAUAAAUUUUACGACGCCUUCUGGUUAAGAUGAGCUCGAACUCUGGGAUCAGAGUUGAAUUUUAAUACGAAUUUCGUCAUAUUGUUUUGGAAGGACGGUGUUUUUAACAUUGUUUACCCCUACUGACUCUCCAAAUGAAAUUUGUUAUAUGCGUGGUGUUAGUACCAAGAAUAUGCCUUUCGAAGUUUAAAUUUAACUUUUAACCCUUCCUCGUUAUUUUUACAAUUUUUGCCAUUUUUUAAGUGGAUAGUAUAAUUGAAGCAUAGUAUUCGGUUAUGCAUUGUUUUACACAAAUAAUAGUUCUAUAAUAAAAAAUAGGUGGAUAUUAAUUCUAUUAUAAUAGUGAUGAAACUCUGCUAUUCAACAACGUACUUAUUUGUACAAUUAAAGUAAAAUUUUUAAAAAAAAAACCUUUAAGUUAAUCGAAGUAAGUGUAAGAAAUUAAAUUUAACGUGUAUCCUAUGGAUAAUAAAUACUAUACAAGGUGUAUUACUAUGGAUAUAUUAUUAUUAUGCGAUAUCUGUGUCAUUAAAGAAACCCGUAAAUCAACAGAAAUAAUUCGAUUUUCGUUAAAAAAAACUGUGUUAGCUAUUAUUUAGGAUUUACACAGAUCCAUCAAUCUGCUUUUCGUUAUGCAAAUUUUCAGAUUUCUAUGUGCGAUAAUUUGGCUACAAGUAGAAAAACUUUUAUUCCUUUUUUAUUUACAUUUCUAUUUCUUUUAUUAAUAUAAUAGAUAAUUUAGAUUUCUCUAUCGUUAAAACAUUUUUGAAUAGAAAUAUUACAUAUUAUAUAAUAUAUAUAUAUUAUGAUAUACGCCUGUUUAAAAAUGUGAUAAGUUUAUUAUUAUUUACAAAUGGGAAAUUUAACGGAUUAUUUUUUAACGAAAAUUUGUUGAACGGGUUUAAAUCGUGAAAAUAAAUCCCAUAAUACCCGUAAAUUGUGCGUAAAAAAUAAUUUUUCAUAAUAUACAGGUCGCUGCUUGAAGUUCAAGUUUCGUUUUUAUUUAACGAAUAAGAAAAUUUAAUAAUUACAAUAUCAAAUUCAUUUAGAAUAUCGUAUAUAUUUAUCGUUUAUAAAUAUAUACGUAUUAUAAAUUAUAAAUAUAUCGUAUUAUAUAGGUUUAUCGUAUUAAAAUAUGAAGAUUGCAACAUUUUGAAGACCCUGUAGGUAUAUAUUAUUAUAUAUUAUAGUAAGUCGUGAAGUGUUAUAGUGGUGUGUAGUAGCUUCGAUUUCCGGAACGUCUUUGCAUGUUACGGGAGGUUAGGUCGGACGACGGUGGCGGCGGAGACACGGCGGCGCGUUCGUUAGUUUGUAAUGAGUUUUGCCAGCCGACAAAAUUAAACCCUCCCCGACUCCCCCUGCCAUUUCCCCGCCUAUCGUUGGCUAGCCCAUCAUACGCCCCCGCUGGUCUACAUGUAUAGUUGUCGUCUAUUCCCCCUCGUACACCGACACUGCACCGCACGCCCCGAGUAUAUCGCCUUCGCCGUCGCCUUCAAUUCCGCAUAUUACGUCCUCGGGCAAUUUAGUCACUGGCUGACUGGCUAGCUACUUGGAUAGUAGGCUGAUGCUGAAUGCCGAUUCAGAAAUUUCGCUCCGAUUUUUAAGUUUAGAGCCUUUUUUAAAAACAAAUUGGACUGAGGAAAAAAUUGUUUAGGUUUUUAUAAUAAAUGGAAAACACCGGGAAAGAACGUAGAAAAACGGGACAGUUUACGAUCGGUAUUGUAUUAGCUAUUUUCGGAAAAUCCCAUUUUUUUCCAGAAAUGUUGAUCCCUAUUUUUAUUUGAUUCAUCUCUGUAUCAAAACAACCAAACAUAAAGUUGUGCGUAUCUCACUAUAUCAGAUAUGCGCCAUUUAGGAAUUACAUUUAAGAAUUAAUUUAUAUCAAUUCAAAAAUUUAGUAAAUCGACUUAGAAAUUUCUAUCAUGUCUGAAUAAAAUUACCAAUUUAAUUAUCCACUCAAAAUCUUCGUAAACGAUCGCCAGUUCGUGAUGUAUAAAUAUUAUCACAAAAUAUUAUUGUCGUCUAUUUUCAUGAGUUUCGCAAUUUGUUGUCGCUUUCGUCUAGCACAAUUUACGAGUAAUGUGACGUACGUUUUACGCGUAUUGUCCACAUGUAAUAAAAUUCAAUACCCACUGCAGUACAUACACUUGAACAAAUAUAUUAUUGGCAUUAUAAAAAAAAACAUCGUGUCAAGAAAGAACGUGAUACCGCGACGAUGAUCUGUGGCGAAUACAUGUUCGCGUACAACAAACUAAAAAGAAAAAAAACCACUACAUUACGUUAAACUUUUAAAUUAGUAGUAGUUUUUGUAUAAUGUUUGUUUUUUUUUUAUGUUUUUUGUACCUACUUUUAUUUAUUUUUUGUGUGUAUGUGAGUCACUUUUCUACCAGAAAUCUUGCUCCGAUGUAACAAGUUUAGCUUUUUUUCAGAAAGGAAAUUUUAUUUAGUUGGUACAUUGUGGAGAGCACUUUAUGACUUUUUAAGAGGUUUCUAUAAUAAUUUGGAAAACCGGUAAGAAAAUUAUAGGUAAAACGGCAAAUGUUUACGGCGCACCGUGGCCUUACCGAUUUCAUAAAAACGUAUUGAUAUGAACUUUUGUGAUUUUGUUUUUCAUUCGAUAUUUCUUAAUAAUGAAAUUGAAAGUUAAACUAAUUCACAAUUACAUCUAUAAUUAUUGUUGGUUUGUUUUUUUUAUAAAAAUAUAUUUUUCACUGCUAUACGAGUAUUACGUGUAUCGUAUAUUAUCGAGUUCAGGUUUUAGUACCUAUAAUACAUAGUAUGUACAAGAGAACCUUAUAAAGAUUUGUAAACGGAUGUUUUAUGUACCUGAAAUAUCUUCUUUUUUCGUUUUUAGUUUUACUUCAAGUACUUCAGUAAACUUUUUACCUCGGGUUGAAAUACAAUUAUUAGACUUUGAUCUUUAAGGGUAGGUGGUAUCGACGAUGGAAUUUGCCAGAGGUUUUUAUUUCCAACGUAAUUCGACACGCGUGUAUUGCGAAGAUAUUUUACUCGAACCUUCUACCUGUAGAAAAUAAUUUGAAUACAUUUUUAUGGCACGUCCGUAGCUUAAUAAUACCGAGACAGUAUGCGCUUCCCAGUAUAAUGCAUUAUAUAGGUAUAAAUAAUACGCGUUUAAUAAAUUAUAAUUUACCGGCUGAUCAAUCUAGCUUAAGACACUCAUUAUCUCGGAACAUAUUAACUUUAAAUAAUUUAAGAAACAAGCCCCCUCAAAAAGGUGGUGCAUGUUUAUUUCUCAUUUUUAAGGUCGGGGUUGAAACCGUCAAAAAUCAAAACAGCGAGCUUUAAUAGUGGUUUCACCUACAAACGUAAGUGAUAAGACAUAGGGAAAUGUAACAUUUUAAAAUUGUUUACUGUUUUCCCUUUAUCACUUUGUAUAAUAUAAAGUAAUGUACGUUUUUAACAGUAUUUGUCGGUUAUUCAUUCAAAACAUUACAAAAAUGAUUCCUUUGCGAAUGUAGGUACAUACAUAUAUUUACGGUCUUUGAUUUCUGUGAAAUUGCGAUACCUAGCUACUUUCUUAUUUUAUUAUUCAAUUGUAUCGCGAGGAAUUUUGUUUUUUAUCCUAAUGCAUAAAAGCUCCUUGUGGCUCGUGGUUUUGUCGUCAACAAUACUGACAACGGUCGGAAAUCUGUCAACAGAAAAGGGCACGGCAUAAACAAGUAUUAUAAAUCCACUCGUAGAUAGGGGACAAAAAAAGAAAAAGAAAAAGAAAAAGAAAAAAGCAAAGCUGAUGGAAUAAAAGCAGCCCGCGGUAUUUACCGUGCCUGAUCCUAAUCGGAUUCAGUUUAAUGUUAUGCAUAGAAGCUUCUUCGAUGUCCUUUGGGACUAUAUUCUGAAUCUCGUCGUGCAUAUAAUAUUGCGUAUUAGGUUAAAAAAUAUCAAAAAUGUAUUUUUGAAACUAAUGCAUAUAAAAGGACAGUAUUAGUAAGUCGAUUCGAAUCAAAUAAUUAGUAUUAUUUUGUUUCAAUUCACUAUUUUCUGAUAAAUCGGUAAAGGCCGUCUUUUUACCGAUUUUUUAAGUGAUUAUAUUAACUGUUAAUAUAAGCACUUAAUGGUUAGGUUAACUUAAUAACCCAAUCUAAACUAACAUAUUAUCUAUACUGUAAUGAUGCUGUCAACUAUUAAUUAAUUGUUUAUUUUUUUUUGGGUAUUAUCGCAUGCUUAUAAUACUUACUCGGGGGUGAACGAUUAGCAAAAAGUAUAAAUAAAUAUAAACAGGCAAUUAUUUUAACGAGAUACGAAAUUUAGCAAUUUGUUCUGGCAUAUUGACAUCACUCGUCUUUGUAACAAUAAUAUGAUUGAUUCCAAAAUAAGCCCGCUGUCGUCUUUCAAUUAAAUGAUGGAAUUAUAAUUUUGUGUUUUCUUUUUUUUUUACUCUAGAUUCAAAAUGUAACGAAGAAGCCAUUAUAAUUUGAAUAAUAUGUUUGUGUAUGUGUGUGUUAUACCACGGUGCACAUUUUUUGGGUGGACAGGUGGUAUUUUAUUUGAACAUUUGUUUUGAAAUUCUUAAUGCUUUUUCCACAAAAAUGUUAUAAUUUUUUUUAAAAUUUGUUUCAUGAGUGAAAUGCCUCAAUUUGUCACGCAGUAUUUUGAAAGACCUUUUCGUCUGGCGGUAAAAACAUUCUAUACAUUUCCAAUAUAUUUUUCUAUAAAAUUAAAUCGCCGUGAGCUGCAGAGCUCCGUUGCUCCGUUAUUAAAGUCAAAUUUUCCCACAGUCGAGGUAUUAUCAAUAUAAUAUUUUUUUUUAAAUUUUUUUUUUUAUUAAUUUUAAUUAGUCUUGGUUGUCAGAUAUGCUCAUUGGUGUUAGUAAUAUUGAAUUUGUACUUAAUUAUCAAUUAAUUUAAUUCAAUUAGAUUUGUUUUUAUUUAUAAUUUUUAAUCGAUAAACGUUUAUUUACCACGUCUACUUCCUACCCUCUAUUAAUAGUCUACUAUAUCUCUUUCAAAUAUAAAGCAUAUCCUAUACAUUUCUGGCAAUGACAAGGAAUUGAACCAAAAAGUUUCAUCAAAUAGUAAUUCUUGAGACUUUUGCUAACAUACAAACAUUUAAACUUUCUAAAGGUACAUUUUCGACAACAAUACUAUUUGUAUAUACAAAUUUUCACACCGUUAGUUACUUUGAUGAGUCCAUAGGAGUACUUAAACCCGGUAUUUCCUGUUUAACAUUGAAUUUCAAAAUAAAAACGGCUGGGGACGAGUUUGAAUAUUAAAACACCCAAAAUGUAAAUCAUUAAUACUCAUACUGUGUAUCCGUGCAUCAUAAUGUCAUAUGUCUGCUUUAUUUGGAGAACCAGUAGAAAUUUACAUAGAUAAAAAAACACCUUGCCUCUGCAUCAAUAUUGUGAAAUUUCAACAUUUUAUCUACCUGUUCAUUUUUCCGACCUACUCAUGUUAGUCGAAUGAUGUGCGUCCUAACUUUAUUACGUUUUUUAGUGUUGUAUAUAAUAAUAUUUCUUAAAAAAAAAAUGUAUUUUUUCAUGAUUUAUGCAUGACAUCACUGUAAUGACACACUGCAUGCGUAUAACAUAAUAUUAUUUGUCGUAUUGUUUUUAAUUUCACAUUAUAUGAACCAACAGCUUAUUCAUCAGUUUUUUUUUUCGUUUUCUUUGAAACUUAUAAAUAUUUAUUUUUCAACUUAAAUAAUAAUAUUGUUAUGCAUACAAAAACAUUUCGCCAGUCUGUAGGUACAGGCAAAAAUGUAAUUUCGUAUUUAUUUUUGUAACUGCGGGUUGUUUUUUUUUUUUUUAUACUAAAUCGACUACGUGCAAUAUAUAAUCCUUAAAACCACAUUUUAACGCGCGAGUAUCUCGGGUUGUUUAAUUUUUUUUUUUAUACGCACACGUUUAAUAAGAUAAAACGUGCGAUGUAUUCUGGAAUAUAAUAAUAUAAUAUAAAGGCCUUUUACAAUAUUAUAAUAAUGAACCUUUAAUAUGCGCUUAGCCUUUUACGUACUCGGACGGACGUCCAAUGUUACGACGGCGCUGCGCGAAACGCAUCGAAGAGUGAAUUUGAGAGGCUUUUUUUUUUUUAUUUCGUCGUCCCCUCUAAACUAUCCGUAGUAAUAAUAUAAUAUUAUAUAUAGUUAAUAUUAUCAGCUUAAUAUAAUCUCGAUUUUUCGUUGAGGUGCCCUUCGCGCGUGGACGUUGAUUAACCCCUCGCGUAAAAAUGUCGACCCUCCGACAUUUUAUUAUUAACUCAUAUAUUACUAUUAUUAUUAUAAAAGGGUAUACGUAUACGCAUACGUACACCGUGGCACGCGUGCACAUCAAAAUCCUGCACUGGCUCUGCACUGUGCUCUUGCUGCCGUCACCGCCACCGACAAUAUUGACAAGACCGCCGCCGCCGUGAUGUAUUUGCCGCCGGUCAGGACGAGGGACGAAGAGUGGGUUUUUAUGCACAUUGUGUGCGUGUCUGUGUGUCCGUGUGCGUGCGUGUAGUGAUGGCUGCACACAGGAAGAUGACACGGUGGUGGACACGGGCGAGAGGGGCGUGGGAGUAGGGGAAGUUGGUGUUCAAAAACGCCGCUGCACAGCCUCCGGUGGCCGAAGUAAAAAAUCGAUAAUAUAACGCACAGUAUGCACGGCGGCUGCACCGACAGUCAGUAGACAGUAGUAUUGUUCCUCUACGCCUUUUACAAUAAUUUUAUACCUUCCGAGCGAACGUUGUGAUGAUGAUAAUAGUAAUAUACGAAAUAUAUUUAUUUUUUUUUUAUCGGCUAACCCCUACAACCUGAGCCCGCGGCCCGAACCGUUUCGUGUAUCAAAGAAUCAAUCGUUCGCUAACGGUUAAAAUAACGAAAUAAAAGCAAAUCUCCGAGAUAUUCCCGCGAUGCAAUUGAUUUGUACCAUGUGGCGCUCAUUUAAAAUGUCCAAUAUUAAUGAAUCGCAUAAGCUGGCUCAUAUUUAAAUUUUAAAAUUCUCUCAAGAAUACAAAAAAAAAAUGUUAUAUUAAUAAAUUAGUAAGUUUAAUAAACUAAUGUUAUUAUCUCUAUAAGUUUAUACAGUCAUUUUAUGAAAUACUUUAAAACUCUAGGUGAUUAAGGCCCGUUCUUACAAUGUCCGGCCAAGUGUCGGUUAGCGCUAACCGGCAGUUAUACUGAAAUUUAACUGACAGUUGAUUCUUACAUUCGUCGGUUAAGAAAAGUUUUACCGUCGAAUUUUUAUCAUACGGAAUUCUGCCGGUUAUCCUCCGGUUAAGCUAAAAUCUCUCAGAUUGUGUUACCAAUAGGUACAUAUCAAUAUUUUUUUACGAUUACCGUCACUACUAAUAAUUUAUUCUAUACUAUUAAUUUUGUGUUUUAUAUGUUUAUCUUGAGUUUAUCUGUACAGAGUAUACAUUUUUGUUUUUUUUUUUUACUUUAUUGUUAGAAUUAUGAAAAGAGCAAUAUACCAAUAUAUAACUGCGGUUUGAUUGAAAGUGAUUCUUUAGACUACGAAAAUGAAAUUUCAGAAUUGAAUAUUGCAAUUAGGAAACAAAACUUUCCGAGAACACAAAAACUACUUAGAAUUAUUAGACAACAGUUGGUUUUACAACUAACUCGACCAACGUAUUUUCCCGUUAUAGAAAAAUUACUGCUACAAAGUCUCUCAUUAUUUAUUGACAUGUUUUAAAUAGUUAAGAAGCUAAUAGUUAGGACUUUAAAUAAGUAACGAAGAAUAUGUCAAUAAUCAAUAUGAAUAUUAUAAUACCGAGUUUUGUUUUGUAAACAGACAAGAAAAUAUUUUAUUAUAAAAUUUAUAUUAUUUAUAACGAAUUAUCUGACUGUAUAGAUGAUAAUAACAAUAAUAAAUAAUAACUCAAGAAUUGCGUAUGCGUAAAACAAUAAAGUUUGGUCUUGGGCGAUUGUUUUCGGAAUCAUUGUCGGUAAAACUGCCAGUUAGUUACACGAUCGUUAAUCGAAGAUUGUAAGAACAGAUCGCCGUAACCGGCACUUAACCGAUAACGUAACGGUUAGAUAACCGACACUUUUACCGCCACUUAACCAGACAUUAUAAGAAAGAUCCAAAGGAGUUUUAUGCUUUCUUGAAUUUGUUCGAGAUUCAAUUGAAUACCAAAAAAAAAAAAAAGGUUCAGCGUAUUCAAAAAAUGUAUCACAAAAUUUAAGGUCAGGUUAAGUUAAGUUUUCUAAUGAAUACGAACGAGCGAUUAGUGUAAAAGGAAUGAUAUUUUAGUGUGAAAAAAAAAGUAGUUUCAAUAAUGCAUUACCGACAUUGCAGUUAUUUUAUUACUGUUAUAAAAAAUUCCACGAACGGUCGAAUAAUUAUUCUUAUGAGCUACUUCUGUAGCAAACAAUAGCAUUUUUGUUGCUUUUUAAUUCAGCGUGAUAAUGGUUUAUAUUAAUUAAUAUUACCGUUCGUGAAAACAGUUUUUUUUUUUUUAAAUAUAUUUUAUUAAGUUUAUUCAUUAUUAUAUUUUAAUGAAUGAGUGAAAUGAUUAUAAAAAUAAAGCCUCAAAUAAUAUAAGAAAGAAAAAAAAAAAAUAUCCACAAGUCAACGCUAUGACGAACUUCCGGUUGGUCUAUUUUUACUAAUGUAUCGUGCUAGUUCCAUUAAAUAAUGAGUAUUCACUUGAAAGUUGUGUAUAAAUUUAACUAAAAAUGCACAUUUUAAACAAAUGGUUUUAUUUUUAUAUGCAUAUAAUAUAAAAAAAAGCAAAUUUGUGUAAUUAAAAAAUAACAAAAAAAGAAAUUCUAACUUAAGACAGGAGGUAAAAAUCCGAGUUUUCCACUACCCUCAAAUGACGCCACUGCGUUUUUAUGUGGAAAGCAAGAAAAAAAAAAUUUUAAGUGGCGCAUUAUAAUAUAUAAGUAUCCCCGCAGCAGAUAUCAACGUCAUCAUCGUUGUUCUCGGCUUUGCAAAACGGACGUGUCGACUUAUCGUACAUAUUAUAAUAUUAUAAUGGGUCUCUCGCUAUUACUUCACCCCAGCUAUAAAGGACUGUUGAUUGCGCAAAAGCCAAGACUAGCUGAUGUUUAUUAUUUUGCGUUGACGACGAUUUUAAUAAUGACGACAAGUAGGAUCAGAAAAGCGCAUCGGCUCGUAAAACGACAGAGUCGAGGAUCUAUGUAAUAUAUAAUAAAAUAUACAGGUCAACGACCCCUCCCCACUAAUCGUAUGCGUGUUAUUUGGAAACAGACAACUAUUAUUUUUAUUUUUUUAUUUAUGAAUCGAUAGCGAUCUACUUACAAAAAUACGAAAAUUUAGAUGCCAAACGGCAUUGAUAGACAAUGGUAAUUGAAGAAAUGGUACAAUCUAAAACUAUAUUAAAGUAACAGCAGAAAAACAAUAUUUUAACAAAUACCUGACGAUGGUACAAGAUAAGAAGAACGAAAACGCAAGAUACUGAUAGUUAAAUGUUCUGUGUAUGCAGUGACGAAUUAAGUCAUAGGAUCAUAAAUAUUGGUGUGAGUAUAAAAAUAAAAAAAGAAGAAGUUUGUGAUAAGAUAUGCGAAAAGAAAUUAUAAAUGAGACUCUUUUAAAGAAAUCAGGAGCAUUUAUCAUUUAAUACGUCGUAUUAUGUGAAUAUUAGGGAUUUUCACGGGUUUUCUAUCAGAAUAUUAUGUUAUUAUUAUUUUUAUCAACCACUUGAUUAUAUUCAUAAUUUAUUACCACCAGUGCAAUUAAAUCAAACACAUUACACUACACUAGUUUAUUGAGGUUUUGCAAACAAUCAAAUCAAAUAUAGAAGGAAAAGAAACUUCGAUGGUCAAUUCUAUUCCAUUCACUUAAAUAUAAUAAUAAUACUAGUAUUAUGUCGAGCGGUAGACAUUGCCGGAAAUGUUUUGGCCAAACUUAAACGUAUACUCGGGUCUUGGGCCGGAAGUUUACACUUCCGUCUGCUGCACGCGGAUACGUUACGAUUUAUAGUUAGGUAACGGAAAUAAUAGGCUAUAUUAUCUCGUAGUAAACCUACCGGGAUACCGGGUACAAUUGUUAUUUAUACGAAAUAUCCGAUAGUAUUAAAAAAAGUUCCAUUGUUAUAUGUUUUAUAUUUUUUGUUAGCAUGUAACGAUUUGUCACUAUAUUUCAAAAUUAUAAAUAUAAUAUUAUUUCGAUCUUCACAAAUAAAAUAUUACAUAUAUGUUUAAGAUUAAAAAGGUCAUCUUUCCUCCCCUUUUUAUGUAACAAUAUUAAAAUUUGUUUUGACAGGCUAUUAAGUUGUACCCACUAUAUUAUUUUAAAAUUAAUACAUUUAUCGUAAAGCGAAGAUAUUUAAAAUACAAAAUUUGUAUCCAUUAUAAAAUUCGAAAAGUUGUUUUUUAUGAUAAUAUUAUGCAAUGAUGGUUUACAUACUUAAUAUGAAAGGAUGUACACAAAUGUAAAUAUAUGUUACAGUUAAACACAAAAUCUGACAAGACUAGCUUACACAAAUCCUUUUUGUUAAAUCUAACGCAAUAUUACCUUUUAAACAUCAAUACAUUUCUAUACUUAUCCUAAUAUAAAAGAAUUUCUUUCCAUCUUUUUUCAACUACCUAACGGUAGAUUAAUUAUUUCUGAAAAUAAAUUUUUACCAAAAAAUUUUAAUUUUACCUAAUAUAUUAUAUAGACAUAUUUACUAGUUCUAACAAAAAUACAAUAAUUUAAAUUAGUUUCAACAUUGUUGGUUCUAGUUAAUUCUAGUUUUAGUAAAAUCAAAUUUGAUGAAAGGGAUUUGUGGAAGUUAGUUUUAGCGGAUUUCGGUUUUUAACUGUAACAUAUUUGUAUAACUUCUAGAGAAGGUUUUUUCUUAAUUCGUAGAAAGUUAAGGAAGAAGGUAAUAUUAUUUUGAAUCUUAAUAUUUAUAGUUCUUAAUAUAAACGUAUGAUAGACAAAUUGUAGUUUUAUAUGUGUUAUACAUUAAAACCAACAAUCCACCUUGACCGAAAGAGAGAAAGAUAAAAUGCAGUUUUUUCAUGGCGGAAAAAUUGGUUAAAUUUGUUUCUCCUAUUUUUAAAAUACAAUUAUAGGUAUAAAAAGCUAUCCUGGAAUAAUAAAGACGGGUGCAGCUAUUGAUAUAGUUAAUUAAAUGUAUACCUGUAUAAGCAACGAUAAACCAUUGCUAAUGAAAAAAUGAUUCUGAGUGGAGUUCGGUUGAUGUGAUGCUUUGUCAACAAUAUAUGUCCUUUAAAGGUAAUAUAAUUAAAUAGGCAUUAUAUAUUUUCUUUAAUAAUAUUUGUUUAAUGUACCGAUUUUUUCAUUUUUUCUACGUUUUCCCCGGUUGUUAUCAUUUGCUGGGAAAACUCUCGGAAAAAUCGAAAACUUGCUAUAUUUAAAAAUCUGAGUAAGAUCUCUAGAAGAAAAGUUUUCUAUAGAAAAAACAAUAAAAAAAAAAAAUUAAAAAACUAAACAUCUUUGUGAAAUCAUAGGGUUCUUCGCUCCACUCAGAAUCUAAAAUACUAGAAAUUAUAUUUAAUAUAAUCACACGGGAAAUAACUAACUAAACACACGGGUAUUAUUCAUGAUUUUAUGAUAAUUUCUCAUGUAUAUGGUUUUUAAUAUCGUAGUAUAAUAGUUGUCUUACAUAAUUAUAACUAACAACCUAAAUUAUUAUUUUCUUUUAUCAAAGUGAAUGCAACUUUAAUUACAAAAGUAGUAAAACAAUUUUAAUUUUACGUUAUUGCGCUGCAACAAAUUAGUGUUCAUGCAUAAUAAAUAAUAUUAUGGAGAUAUAGUCUAUGUUAUCGGUUUACAUGUUUAAGAAAUUUAUUAUAAACACUAUGUUAAAAAUAAAACUAAUAUUAAAUUUUGUUCAGUAUUGGUUGAGUAAAAUAUUCUCGAGUAAUUUUUAUAAUUAUAUUAAUAAUUUUGAAGUCGGCAACUUACAUUAUGUAGUUAUACUGUGUGUUCACGUUUCCAGGUAACACUACAUAUUUCAACUGGAUAACAUUGGCUAUGAAUUCGGUUUUUGAUAUGUGGAACUAAAAUACACACUUUAAGAUAUAUUUAAAUUUAUGAACUCUAUAAGUGUUCGCAUGCCCAAUAAAAAUUACAUUUUUGAAUAACAACAUCUAUUUUUAAUACUGGAUUGGAAUAUUCCUAUAUUUUCCUGGAAAUUUGUAUCACGGUGUUUGAAUAGUACUUCAUUCCUCUUUCCCUACCAACAACUUUAAAGGUAGAAUAUUUUAUCAACGGGUUGAUGUACAUUACACAAUAAACAUUUUGACACCAAAACGUUUUCAAACCUGAACUUUAUCUAUGUAUGGAGUUAUAUAAAAAUCAAAUGUAGUCAGUGGUUUCAACCCUAAAAAUAAUGGUGGUACCAAAAAACAAUAUCGAGUGUAACAUUUUUGAGCUGUUUAUUUCUUAGUUUUUUUAAAAAACAUACUCUAAAAAAAAAGUUAUUAUUUUCCAAGAUAAUGAGUGUUUUAGUAUAUUAUUCUGGAAUCUUAAACUACGCCUAGACAAAUUGCAUCAUUAUCGUUUCCAUGGUUCAAAUGAUCGCAGUGAUUUAUAGUGAUCUUAAUAUUAAAAGAAAAAAAAAUGUACAUAAAACGUCUAAAUGCAUAUUAUAUAACCGGUCAUGGUUGGCUGGUAUACAUGCAAAAGAGGCGACUGCAGUCUGCUGCCAUCACAUCACUAUACACUUUCCACCUCACACACUCCUUUACAUAAUCUUCUCUAUACGAGGGUCGAGUGCGUUUCUUCAGCGUGUCUGAGAAGUUAUGAGUAGGCACGAAACGAUGACGUUUUGCCGACCGUUCCUGACAAGAAUGUUUUAUUGCCGCACUCCCCACGUUUAUUCUUUGGUCGACUAUAGCACAUCAUUGAGAAAACUUCCACACGUGCACAAUUAUUCUCUGAAAAAUCCUUAUCCUAUGUGCAGCGUAUACAAAUAUAUAUGUUAAAAUAUUUAGAUUAAGAUAAAAUAGCAUUCUUAAAAUAAUUAUCUAAAUGAAAACAAAAAAUACAGAACAAUUUUUUACAUAUAGAUAUAAAGAUAACAAAUUAAGAACUGGGUGGGUGUUUCUAAACAUAAGAAAGGUGCUAAACUGUGGUCUAUAUUUUUUUAGUGAACCCUGACGUAAAGUGUAUAGUCUAAAAUUGGAAGUGUGUGUUACGAGUUCUAGAAAUGUAUAUUAAAAAAUAGGAUAGUGUAAGUCUGAUACUUGUUGUAGUUAUAAAGUAUGGAGGCAGAAAUGUUUUCUCACCCGUUUGAAUGGUUGUUUUUUAGUAGCUCAAGCUCGUUAUGUAUAUCGCCACAUGUGAAAGAAAGUUGUAUGGGUCUUACUUUUCAGGAAUUACACUAAAGACUGGUAGACUUAGUAAAUAAACUUUAGUGGAUUACAAUACGGUUUGGUACUUUUAAAACAGUAAAUCGUCGGCUCUAUCUACAAAUAGUUAUUCAUCGUCUCAUCAUAAUUGUAUUUUUAAACUAGUUAUUAGUUCUUGAAUUUGAGUUGUUAAGGACUAAGUACCUCAACAAUUUUUUCAAUAAUAUUAGCGUACCCCUACUUAUUAUUACCAUGCGUGGAUUACGUUGAGUUUAAUUAUUAUAAGGAUGAUAAUUGUGUUUAGGUAUCGUAGUCUUCUUUUAAUUUUCCUAUUCAAGAACUGCUAACUAGUGACUUCGAUAAUCGCAAUGAUAUCAACUUUAUAAGGGGUAUACCUGAUAAUUUAAUUAUAACAAAUUGUGUUUUUUAAUUUAAUGCAAUUUAAUUAAUUUUAUAAGUAUAAAAAUCUAGAUAAAACGCAACAGUGCCAAUAUAAUAAUAUAAACUCUCGCUUCCUUGUUACUUGAGAAUAACUCUUCCCCCUUUCCCCAGUUAUACUUGUAGCAGCUAUGAAUCGUAUCGAUGUUAGUCCAAUUUGUCCUCAUUAUACGCUACCGGUUUUUUAUUUAAUUUGUCUGUUUAGUUUAUUCUGUAUUGCAUUUUUUCCCACAUAAAAUGGAAUUAUUUUGUAUAUAUAGUUAAAAACGAAAAAGGAUCCUCCUAACAAGAUAGAUGUAUACACAGACCAGAGGAGGAAGGAAACGGAAAAUUAGAAUCACAUUUCAUGUUUCUUCUUCGUGUUCCCUUCGUGAGUUUUAUUAUAAAUUGGAUAAAACCGUCGCGUCGCCGUUUCUGCCUUUUUUAAAUUUUUUUUUUUUUGCUCUUUGCCAUUUUAAGGUGAAAUAAGCGGCUUACUUGUCUAUUGUCGGUGGACGGGUUUAGUUUACAUAAACUACCCAUCAAAAUAAAAUGUAUUCGAAAGUUGUUUGUCUUCGGGCGGUAAAUAUUUUCUUUUGUAGACGGAUGGUUACUUUAAAAUGUAUUCAUAAUAUAGUGACUGUACGGUGUUCAGUAAUAAGCUGUAAAUUAGUAUUACGACAAACUUUCUUCCUAUUAGUUUUAAAAUUGGUAAUUCUAAAAAUGUAAUAUUGGAGAUAUGUUAUAAAUGAGUUAUAGCUCAUUUUAUGAAAAACGUGUAGGAUAUGGCGUAUUAAUAUUAGGAAAAUUUUAGUUUUUCGAUUCGUUUAGUUCAAUAUAAGUAUUUACAUUUUUUGUUUUUUUAGCGAAGAGUAAAUAAAGUUAUAUUUACAAAAUCCUAAUAAAUUUAAAAUUGUAUUUUAACUUGUAGUUAUACAACAACUAUAAAUGAAUAUAACUUUCAGUCAGUCAUUUUUUUUUACUAAACAGCUAGUUUUUAAUAUUUUAUAAGAUGCACUAUGAUUAAAAAAAUUUUAAAUUAAGGAUAUUGCAUGUUUUUCUUUUUUUAUUAUAUACAUUUUAAAUUGGUUAUUCUAUUACUUUACUCCCACGAGUGAAGAAAGUUUUGAGAUUAAACACGAAAAAAUCCACACCCAAGAAUCCUUGGAGGAACGAAAACUUUUAUUCCACCAAACUUGUUCAAAUAUAAGAGAAUAUACAAACUAUUUUUAACUCAAGUUCUAAAAACUAUCAGUCUUCAUUUAUGUAUAAUAAUGUUCUUUGUAAUCGAAAAACACAUUUUUUUUUCUUAUGUCAGUUUACAAAAUCUAUAUUUCAGUAGCUCAUUCAAUUUGUAAAUUGAAUUACAUCAUCGAAUGAAAAAAUAGGACUAUUUGAAUCUGGUGUUAAAAUAGGUGUGGCUAUCCAAAAAUAUUAAUUUGUAUUUUGCAUGCGCCAAAAGAGUUAAAAAUUGAAAUUUAUCAAGUGUGUAUUCAGUACCCCAUAAUACCUCCUGAAAAUAGAAUUAAAACCUAUGAUCAUAUGACCGAAAUAUUUAUCCAGAAAUCAAAUUUUAUAUAAUGUUAUAAUAUAGAUGUAUUUUUAAUUUGUACUAUUUACACGGACUCGUGUAUAGUAAAAAUUAAAAUUUUUACUUUUUUUAACGCCCUAGGUAUAACUUUACCGAUAACAUUAAAUAAAAUUUGCAAACAUUUUCGCUCGUCCAAAUAUUUAAAUUUCAUAAAACCAAAUAAAAACUAAAAGUACUAAAAAAUGUAAAAUGCCUAAAAUUAAAUAAAAAUCGCUAGAAUUAAUAUGAAAAUUCAGGUAUCACCGAUUAUUUUUAACAUAAUACUAAUAAAAUCAAAAUUAAUGAAACCAUAUUCCCUAAUGACCCAUAUAGCUUAACCUAACUAAUUCCGUAAAUUUUCCCGUUUUCCCUAUGUUUUUCAUGAUUUUUCCCCAUUUUUUAGAAAACCACACAAAAACUCAAAAACUGAUAUCGAUUAUGUAUACUAAAUAAGUUGGUUGCGUAAUAUAUAAAUCACCAAUAAAAACAUUCUGUGAAAAUUUCAGGUCUCUAUUAGUAAAUAUUGUAUUUUUUACUGAAUUAUAAUAAAAUAAAAGAGGCAAUACUAGUGGAAGUUUGCCAAAAAAGGUUAAUAUAAGUUUUCCGUUCAAAUUAUAAGUCUUUACAAAUAGUUUUAACUAAAUUACAAUAAAAAACAAAAUUGAAAAUAUUACAUUCCGUUUUUUCUACGUUUUUUUCGGUUUUUCCCAAUUUUUAUAAAAACUACUUGAAAAAUAAAGAAAUGACCUCCUCACGUGUAGAUAAAAUUAAUUUUUAAAAAAAAUGAAAUCUUACGCUCGAUACACUGAAGCAAGAUUUUUGGUAGAAAAGUGGUUCUUAGAAAAAAAAUAAAAAUAAACAUUGUAAAACCAAUACAUUCUUCGCUAUGUCGCAAAUAUAAAAAAAAAAUGGAAAAAAUAAUGAAACGUAGCCGUAAACUAUUCGAUUUUAAACUUUUUUUUUCAAACAGGUUAUUUUUAUCUAUCAAGAAAAUUAUAAGGAUAAUCAAAAAAUGGUCAGCCUAUGUAGUACGUAUCAACAAGACAACAUUUUAUGUUAGAUCGAAUGUGUCAUUUUAGAGAUUGGAAGAAAAUUUCUAAUAUAAAAGAAGUAUACAGAUAGACAAAACAUACACACAUCAAAAUAGUAAAACCAAUAUUGUAUUUGAGCUUAGAAUCUAAAAAAUAAAAAAUAAAGUGAUGUCAAUAUUUGAUAAUCCUUUUUGAAACAAAGGUUAAAUCGAUUGCUUUUACGGCGAAAAAUAGAAAAUCGAACACGAAGCGAAGAAUUGUAUACGGUGAACCGUAUUAUACAUGUCGAUUUUGUGUUUAAGCGAAACUCGAGUAAUUUGAGGGGUAGCUUUUCAAGCUAAUUUGUGCCCUUUUUACUUCGAAAGGAGUGCGGUUAAUAUAUACGCGUAGUCGUAGAGAAGUGGAAAAUCUUUUAAGCAAUAGUAAUUUAUCGUCUUUCGGCGAAAUGGCAAUUUACACAUAUACGGCAGCCGAUCAAUCAGUGUGUUGAUGUGUGGCGUGUGUGAACGCGUUCGUUUUGAGAGGCAGUUUCAAGUACACGCCAUGCUGUUUAAUUGAAUUAAAAAUAAAAGUAAACAUAUUCAAUAAGGAACUGUCUGCGAUAAAUUAUUAAAAUUUGCAAAUGUCUUCUGUAAUUUUAAAGCGCUUCUUUUUUUUUACUUUCAUCGCUUAUAAAACUGAAAUAUUUCAUUUUUACGUAUAAACUGAUUGAAUUUAAAAUGCCUCGACAAACAAAAAAAGCGUAGAACGCUUUCGUUAUCUUUUAUUUUUCGUUUGGUUCUAUUUAAUUCUAUACUGUACACGUAAGUAUAACCAUUGAACUAUACACAAUACAUGCAAGUAUAAAACGAUUAAACAAGUAUAAUUCGAAAAUAAUUCGUAAAGUUGUUAGGUAAUAAUUUUAUUCAAAUCAUCCGCGUGUGCAUAUUAUAUUCAUACAUAAAAUGUUACGUAAAUUUGUACCGUAAAGUUUGUAAAAUUAUGCAAACCCUGCAGAACUAUAAGCAAACUAUAGCGAUCGCACUAAAACUAAACCGCAGACAUUUCCGACAGAAUCAGCUAUGUAUGUGUGUUCGUAGUUUGUACCCAUUCUGAAUCUUUCGCUAAGGUUGUCUAACCGAGAAAUUAAAAUAUCAUCACUGAUUUUUACUUCACCUGCACUACGGUAUUCUAACAGUGGCAAAGAUUUACUAUCUAAUUCCUUUCCCUUCCAGCCCCUACCUAAUAUAGUCUGUUAGGAAAAUUAUUUAUUUGCUUUCCAAUUGUUAUAAAUGAUUUAUAAGCUACUCUUUCUUUCUGGCCUCAUGACUAUUCAAUAGUUUUUGUCACCGUCGACACUGUUUUUUUACUCCCCGUUCUUACGUAUUCUCUUUAUCAGUCAAUUCACUACACCUUAUUUUUUCAAGUCAUGUUCCAACCAAUCUAUCCAUUCAUCGGUUCGUAGAUCUUCCUUUUAGUGUCUUUCUAGUUGUUUUCCAUUUAUAUGCCGUAUUUAAGUUUGAUAAUUACAAUUACAUCACCACAUAUCCAAUAAGACUAUUCUACUCUGUGUGACUUCACAAAAUGGUAUUCUCUUCUUAUCUUCCGGAUCUUCUUGAUUUUUUUGUAUAGACGAAAAUAAAAACUUAUAACGUUUAGAUUUUGUAUAGAUUAGACUUUUUUUCAAAUGUUAAUGUAUUUUUAUUUUCUUCUCCAUCACCUUCUUUGAAGUAUGUUCGCGUUUUGUUGUUCUUCUUCUUUAUUACCUACUAUAUUAUAAGAAGCAAAAACGAUCGUUAGGCUUCAUCAUAUUAAUUGGGUUUCGGUCGAAGUAUAUACUAUAAAAGAGAAACUCUGAUCAAAGAAAACUUCAUUUGCAAACUGUUCAAAAGAAAAUUAAUUAAGUUCCCUAUAACUUUUCUAUGAACUUUUGAACUUAUAAUAUACUAAUCGCAUUGGAACCUACCUGCCUUUAAGUUAUUAGCCGUGGGCGACCGGAAAACUGUCCCAUUUUUAUAUGAAUUAUAUUGCGAACGUAUACACUACAAUAUUUAAUAUUAUUAUGAGCAAAUUAAGAAAUGUCGUUGAAACAAAUUUAGGGAUGUAACCUUGACUAAUGAUUGAAAAAUGGUGUAAUCCAAGAAUUUUCGUCAGCGACGCAGUUUUCAAAACCUCCAAAAUGUUGCGAUAUAUUAUAUUUGUACGCAAUAGGUACCUAUUGCGUACACAUGUAUAUAGUAUAGCGGUAUACACUCAUAUACAAACAUACUAUUUUGAAGUGAUUUUCAUAAGGCAUGUGAAUUCCUCAGUUUUAGUUGAUAUUUGCAUCUAACCUAAUCUAUGUAUACCUAAUAUUUAUAAAUAAUAAAUAAGUAACAAACUAUUUAAACCAUAAACACAUAUUAAAGUAUAUUAAUAUACAUUUAUAAAAAUUGAGUAAUUGAAUAAUUUAAAUAUUAUAAUUAUGUACAUACAAUUGAAAAAAAAAAAAAAAAUGAGUAAUUUAUAAUACGGGACAUGAAAGACUGAUGUGUCAUACUACAUUGAUUUUUUGUAUUUUGUAUGUAUUACUUUACUAUAAUAGGUAGGUAAUUUAAGUAGACCAUUUAUUUUUAAUGAGACACAAUUUAACGAAUAAGUUAAUGUAUACCCAAUUAUAAAAACUGUUCAAUAAUUUCAAAAAUAAUAAAGAAUACAUUUAUUUUACUAUAAUGAAUUUCUAAUCGGUUGCAUUGCAUUUUAAUAAGCCCCGUAAAUGCAUUAUGGUGUAUACGAGAACGACUGCUAUGGAAAAAUACAAACGAAAACGGGAAAUCCGAAAAUAUCUUUAUAUACUCGUUGAUAAACGGCGACCCAAAGGGCGAUAAAAAAACAAUUUACAAAAAAAGUUGUUAAAUGAUUUAAUUUGAAUCCACUCUGUAUGCGUUUACGACAGAUAUGUAUAACAUACACGGUUGCAUCACUGAAUUAGUUUGUCAAAAUGAACUACUAUUGAACUACUAUGAACUAACUACAAGCCCAUGUCGUAGAUAUGGAAUAUAUAUAUAUAUACAUAUUAUUUUUAUUAGCAAAUUGCUUAUUGUUUAAACUACCCUAUAUAUAGUAUACUACAUAAUACAAAUUUUUUUCAACGGCGGAAAAACGAUUUUUGACAACGCAAAAUUGUUUUCAAAAUCGCAACCAGUGCUUAACAACGCCAACAACAAAUAUUUUAAAUGUUCCCUGGAUUGAAAAAUAAAAUGUACGAAUCUUGCUAAAGUAUGAACAUUCAAUAUAAAAAAAAAAAUAUCAUUACGGCAACGAUUUUGUACGGCUUUCCGAGUUUGUAUUUCUUAAUUAUUAAACACUAACAUUUUAUGUUUUUAGUGGUUUGACUAUGAUGUGUGUUUUUUUUAAUAAUUUUUUUUUUCUGUCUGUGAGCUUCUUUUCUACCAGAAAUAUUGCUUUAAUCAAAAAAUACCAAUAAGUGACCUUUUUUUUUUAAAAAAAAAAAAUUUGGAUCUAGUAGUUGUUUAUGAAGUAAGUCUCUUUUGAUUUUCCAAGUAGUUUUCACAAUAGUUUAAAAACUGGAAAAAAGAUGAAAAAUGAAAACUGAUGAAUUUAUGGCGUUACGAUUUCAUUAUUUUGAAUUUGUACAGCUUAUGUUUUCUACUUGAAAUAUUGCUCAAAUAGAAAGGCGACAUUUAACCUUUUUAGUUGUAUUUUCAAUUAAGUUAAUAAGCAAGAAAAUAAUUUCGUUAUUCGAUUUUUCCUGUUGUUUUUUAAUAAUUGAGUAAAGCCAUUUUAAUUGAUUUACGUAAUUUAUAUUUGAUAGGUACUUUUGUGAAUGGCACUUCUUAUUUCUUACCGAACUUCGUUUCGAAUCGUUUUUUGUUAUCGUUUGUUGUCGUUUAUAGAUAUUAAUUAAAUACAUUUAGAUAUGUAUUCUAAAUGUUCAACUGUCCGACAAAAACAGUGGCACACUUGUUUCCAGUAUCGGCUCUUUUUUUAAUCUACGUUUAAAAUAUAGUUAAAACGAUUUUAUUUUUUCAAAUACAUAAUAUACAAAAACAGGUUUUUAUUUUUGUCCAUUUCUUUAUAUUUUAUUUGUCUACGUGAACGUUUUUAUAAUUCCAUCAAAAUAUAUUAUAAAAGUUUUGUUAAAUUAUGCAACGAAACUUUCGAAAAAAAUUGUCUAUGAUAUUUUUUUAUUUUAAAAUAUAACUUUUACGUUAAGUAGGUAAUGUAAUUGCAUAUAACGUGAAGUAUAAAAUAUUAUUAUUUAAAUAGAAUAAUUUCUUACGUCGGUUUUCGUGUAGCCAACAAAAAAAUCUCGGUCUAAAUAUAUCGCGUAUACGUAUAUACCGUGUUCGUUACCACGACAGUCUACAUACCGUUUUUCGUUCGAGUAUUUUCUCGGUUCAAAUAUCGCUGUAUGUUUUUCUUUGUUUUCAGUCGAUUACCCCGCGUUCACAGAAGCACAAUUCCGAUGUUUUUUUAUAUAUAUAUAUUUAAAAAAAAAAUAUCGCGACAUGAUGUCCUGCCAUAAAAAUCAUAGCGUACAUCAUCACGCACACACAUGUCCACAUUUUUAUAAUAUAAUACAUAUAUCUAUAAAAUAGUAUGUCUAUUUUGUAGACCUCGACCCGCCUGUUUAACCCUCUGCAGAAGGAAUAACGUAAUAUUAUCUCUUAUACUACAACAAUGCGCACCGUAUCAUCUUGUGCACUGUAUGGUACAGGUCUUAUGGUCGUACACAGUUAAACCGAAAACGUUAUUAUAUUAUUAUUCAUAAAAACAAAUAUAUUGCAGAUGAAGUUAUAUAUGUAUUCGUGUUCAUAUAAAUAUAAGAAUAUUAUAUGGAUGAUAAAAUUCUACAAGAAAUAAGAAUACAUGUUAAUGGUACGCAUGGCCAUUAUGUUCAUAUUUUAUAGCUUAGUGCGAGUUGUGUUAUAUUUUAAUAACUUCAUUAGAAUUAUCAUUCGAUUUUUACUUUGUUCGGAUUAAAACUUUAAAAAAAAUAGAAAUAGUUUUUUUUUUUUUUUUUAAUCAUAUUUCGUUGUAAAUUUAUGUCGGUAAAAAAGUAUUUUUUCGGUGUAUCAUUGAUACACAUUAAAUUUUCGGAAUAUUAUAAACUUGGCAUGUAUAAGUGGUCAGAAUAUACAACUAUGUCCUGCAUGUCGUAUUCAACAGAAUAUAUAUAUAUUUAAUUUGAUAACAGGAAAUAGAAUUCGUUUAAAUAAAUACAAAUUUAAAAGUUUCGUUGUGUAGCAAAAAAAAAGUUCGAGGAAAAAAGCGCCUUUACACAUUGAACCGCUUAUAAAGAACAAAAAGAAUAAAGAACGACGAAAAUCGUUUAUAUUUGAUUCGGAAACGCCUAACUUCGAGAACGGCGUGUACUGAAUUUCGAAUCGCGUGCUUUUAUUCAGACCGAUACCAGCUCGAUUUAAUAAUCAAAUCGCAUUACCUCUAUAUACGUUUUAUUGUGUUUAAACCUUUAAACAUGUAUGAAAGUAAUUUAAAAGAGAUGAUGAACGUGCUUGAUGACAAUUUCGGUAGAUGCAGUGACGGUAUUUAAUGUGGUCCGCGUGAGUAAUGAUUUUUUAAAGUUCCGAGGAAAAAACUAUAGUCAAUUAGCCAUAAUUAGCCAUGGAAUCAAUUAGCAAAUACAAUUACAGCUUGCUGCAUAAUUAUAGGUACUUUUUUCUGACCUUUAAAAAAUUAUUAAAUAUCAUCAAUUUAAUACAAAUAAAAGGUUGAAACAUCAACAUAUUCAAAAAAAUAUACUCUAUAAAAUCUUCAAAUUUUUCGAAAAUAAUAAAAAAAAAAGUUAUUUUUUUAGUUCUUUUACCAAAAAAUUAAAAUCAAUAAAUAUAAAUAGUUGUAGUCCUUAUUAUCCCUGUGAGUUAUAUAAAAUAAAAAAAAUGUGAUUAUCUAUAUUAUCCCCGUAGAUAUUUCAAUGAGAUAUACUCAUUCGUAAGAUACUUUGUUUAAUAAGACUAUUCGAAUCUUGUGUUAAAAAUAAGUGUUGCAAUUCAAAAUAGUAAUUUGAUUUGUACAUGCUUACAUUGAAAGGGCAAAAAAUUUUAAAAUUUAUCAGUCAAAUUUGCUUUUCAUUACCACCUAGCUAUCACAGAAAACAACAUUUCAUUCUAGAUUAUCAGCUUUUAAUGAGCAAUUUAGUACCAAACUUUAUAUACACUUUGACUAGGGAUGGGUUUUUAACUUUAAAAAUCUUUUAUGAUCAAUUGAUUAGAUUUUAGUUUGUCAAAUUCGAUAGAGAAAUCUUGCUUCGGCUAUUAUCUAAAAGACAAUUUUUGUCAGUAAAUUUUGUUUAGUCGGUGUGUCCGGAAAGUAUUUUUUAAAUUUUUAUUAAGAAUGAGCGAAACAAGAAUAUUUAUGUUGCAGCAUCGGUUCGACUCUUUUGUUAGUAAGUCAGUGAAAAUAAUCCUAGACCAGAAAUGUUUACAGAAUAGAUAUUUAAUACUGAUAUUAUCAUUUUGUUGUGGCGGUUUGAUUAUUAAAACACUCUAGUGUAAUUUAAGAGCGUUUUUGAGUCGUAAUUUACGUCACCACUUUAUUACUAUACACUUCCACGGAAUUCUGCCAACAAUCGUUUUUCAUUUACGUUUAUAAUUAGAAGAUACACACAAUGAUGUGGGUUUUGGGGGAGACAGUUGUGCCGAUUACCCACACCCUUCCUCAAAUACCCACGUGUUAUAACCGUGUAUCACCGUUAUCACUUAUAUCUCUUACAUAUAUAAAUUUUCAUGAGUCAAUAAAUACAAUGAUACUUGCCUUUUUGGUAUAAUAUAAUAUAUCGCUACUAGGCACGGAUAAAAUUAUUAGAUCGGCUGUUUAAUAUCGUAUUGUAUAUCUCGAACAAAACCGUAUUAAUUAUUAAUUAAGGCCGUGCCGAUUCCGUGAUUAACUUCAACUAUUAACAUUAAAAAUGACUGUCGAAUUAUUUUGGAUUUGACCACAUUAUAUGAAUUACUGAACAAACGUUUCUUUUCAUUACAAAACCGUAAUUAUAAAAUUGUUUUAAGAACUUUUUUUUUCCAUGAAUUUUACAAAUAUAAUUAUUUAUGGAAUACUUGAAAAUGUAAUUUUUUUUAUAUUUUUUCAACAGUAGGUAAAAUAUUGUUUUAUUUUAUAAACUAAUAAAAAAAAAAAGUAACGAAACACGUUAGAUUUUUAUUAUAUAUUUCGGGUGGGUAAGUAUAAUUUAAAACGCGUUAAUGGAUUUUUCUUCUUUUUUUUUUUUUCCGUUUUUAAUAGCGUAUUGCAUAAUUAUAUAAUAAAUAAAAGAGUACAUAAUACACGAUAUAUUAUUUUAUAAUACUUGUACAUUGUAAUGAAUUAAUUUGAAUAAUACACGAAUAUGUAUACGAUGGUUUCAAAACAUUAUAUUAUGGUUUCCAUUAUGGUUUUUAAAAUAUAAUUUAAUAUUUACUCCAUAAACCUACCUAUUAAAAAUAAUUCUAGUUAUGAAAUGUGAUAUUUUGCUAGUGAAAAGCUAAUACUAAUACGUCACAUUUUAGGUAUUUAGUAUACUAUAUAUUGCAACGCGUUUAUCAGUUCAAUAAGCUAUAUUAGAGAAAAACAUCGAAAUACUAGAUAGCUUUUGUAAUAAAAGUUAAUCAUGAAAAAAGAGUUAUUCAUAGAGUUUAUUUCUGUAAAUUUAAGACGACUUAAAAAUAUUCCCCAUUAAAUGUAACCGUUUCUCCUAUAAUAUUAAAAUAUUGAGUCUUUUUUUUUUUUUUUUUUUUAACGUUUACCAUCGAGAGGACGACUAUUCAGCAGUAGCAGCGGUUUUGUUUAUUCGCCCUCGGGGUCGUCGCUUAGAAAAUCAGCUUCUGUAUCGUACCUAUAUCUAAAUUUGUGGUCUACCUUUUUGAUUUAUACAUUUUUUUCCCCUUCUUAAUUUCCUUUUGAAUUUAUCUAGUUUAAUUUCAAAACCCGCAGGUGCCGCCACCAUUAUUUAACGUUAAUAACGGCCAAACCUUUUAAACUAUUAUAUUAUAAUAAAUGAUAUUAAUUUAGGUAGGAUUAUAUUAACGAACCAAAUUCAAUAUUAUAAUAUUAUUAAAUUUAUUUGUAUACAAUGUGUACAUCAUCUUUAUAAAUUCUUAGCAGUUUAACAAAAUAUAUUUUUGAGUAGUUUCUAAAAUAUCUAGUCAUAGGUCAUAAGUUCUGUUGUCAGUCAUUAAAACCAAACUAAUCAACCACCGAAAUAUAAAUUACAGAAAUGUCUUGAAUGAUUAAACCAAAACAAAUUUUUUGAAAUUUAAAAUUUGUAUUUAAUAUAAAAAUAGAUUCAAUGUUUUUUUUUUUUUUUUUAAUUGAAAAAACCACGCCAUUAAAAUCCAAAAUCUAGUAAAAAAAAAAAAUUAUAUAUAUAUUUAAAAAGUAAAUUACUCACUAGAAAUUGUAUUAUUGGUGUGUGGCUUCUUUUUAGGGAAAGAGUUAUAUAUUACCUAAAUUGGUUUUAUAAGGUUUAUUCAUUGAACCAUAUUAGUACAAUUAUUAUUUUAUAUUAAAUACAUAAUAAUAACACAAUUUUUAUUUUGCCCAUAUUUUAUUUCGAAUAGCUUUGUUUUUGAAACCAGAAAAAUAAAAGCUUAUGUCAAUGCUUAGAUUUUCUUUUUAUAAUUUUUGUUUUAAUGAGAUUUUUCCCCUCUUUUCGGGUCUAAAUUGCAUAAGUGUAUGUAUUUUUAAUAUAAAUUAUGUGUAUGUGGUUAAAAUUAUGUAUUAUUCAUAUAGCAAAAAAUUUUUUUAUAAAUAUUUGACUAUUUUUAUAAUAUUCAAAUUGAAGAAUGUUAUAGAAAUAUCUAAAUAAAAACUAUACUAUUUGUUUAAUAUCUACAAGUUUACAUCGCAUUUAAUUUUCUUGUAUUGAAAACUUCUCAAGAUUAAUUUAAUUUCUUUUCUCGGGACUGAAAAUAUGCACAAUAUUAUAAUAUUACAAUCUAUACAUUCACACCCUACACGGGAACGAUGGUAAAUUGCAUACCGAAAGCGCCGGCGUGUCGCACAGUGGUUUGAAAUGAAUAUUUAGCUUAGCUUAUAAAAAUGUGAACCUCUAAAAUUCAUACAAUAAACUAAUUUUAAUAUUUAUUGAUAAUACGCGGAAUCCAAAUUUAUUGUCAGUUUUGAAAUCAACUCCGUUAUUAGGGGAAGAGAAGAAAUGUUUUUAGAGAGAUUUUUAGAAAAUUUGCUUAAUUCAUAUCUAAUAAUAUUAUUAAUAUUUUGAAGUGUGCUGAAUCUAAACUUAUUAUCAGUUUUAAAAUCAUAUUACUAAAAAUAACUUAUUGUCAUCUGAAAAUUCGUUGGUUUUUUUUUUUUAUUUUUCCUAUAGAAAAUAUUAAGGAAUCCGAUGAAAAAAUCAUAGAGUACAAUAUGUUCAGCAAAUAUUAAUUAUUUUUUUUACCCAGGUUUUGUUAAAGAAAAUUCGAUAAAAUAAAUUCUUUUUUAAACCAUUUUAAAUGUCUUACGUUAAAAACAUGCGUUUUCCUAUCGCAUUGAGACCAUUUUUUAUGUACAUUUUUGAGAAAGUUUUGUAUUUUGGACCACAUUUUAUUUUCGUAAUCAGACCUCCAUUCAUGGCCAUUGUGGUUUUUAUGAAUUUAGUGUAGACAAUUAUUUUUUAAUUUUGACCACGGAAGUUUUAUUAUAUCAUAACCGCGUAAGAAUCACCACGAAUAAAUCUUCGUAGGGGGUAAAAUGUAUGAUUUUUCUAUCGCUACUAAAACCAGCCGAAAACACAAUCAUUAAAAAGAAACUAGACAUAAUUACAUACCCAAUAUAAACACUUAUAAUUCGAGAAGGAUAAUUUUAGAUAUAGUAUAAUCACAUUUUAGUGUAAUAUAUAAUAGGCGUGUACCUAUUCAGAUAUUAUAACUGUAAUUUGGUCUGCAACAUCUGUAUUUUAUUAAAACUAUAAUAAUUAAGAAUGCACUUUGGAGCAUUAUUGGUGACAUCGAAUUUAGAUUCCAAGCGGAGCGAUGAAUGUAUUAGUUUUACAAUGAUGUUUUUUUAUUAUUUUUUAUGUGAAUACUUUCGCUACCAAAAGCAACCGUUUUUAUUUAUUUUUUGUUAUUUUAAAAUUAAUCUUUUAAAAACAAUCAUUGUUGUCAUGGAAACACACAUUGUUGAAAGAGGUAGGUAAACAGGCACUUCGAAUUAAUAACUACAUCGCAUAAAAUUAAUAUUUGAAGAACAAUGAUGAUAAAGAUAAGGAUGAUAUUAUACCUAUUAAUCACACGAAAAAUUGUAAACAUUUGGAAAAAACAAUUGGCUAUUUAAUUGUAAAAUACAUUAAAACAAGGUAUAAUCAAUAUCUCGUCUGAUAUAAUUUAUUAUCAUUUUAUCUGUUGGUUUAUAAUUUUAUUUAUUUUUUUGUUACAUAAAUCAAUCACAAUUAUGAAAUUUUAGAGUAGUAAAAUAUUUUUACUACUUACACAAAAACAUAUAAACAUGUGUUUACUGGGCAAUUAGUUAUAUUCAAUAUUAUGCAUUAUUCUUUAAUAUGGUAUACAUAUUGUUGACAAAGCAUCACUAUCAACUGAACUCCGCUCAGAAUCGUUUUUCGUUAGUAAUUGUUUUUCAUUGCUUACAGAUAUACAUUAAAUUUCCUUCUACGUCUUACUUUCCAAACUUCUGACCCACAAUAGUGGAUGCGCCCACGUGCGAAGUAUGUCCGUCUUUUAUAAAUAAAAUGGAUAUUUUUUAGUUUAAAAUUCAAUCUUAUGAAUUUCUAUUUUGAAAAAUUAUAUGAAUAUUAAAUGAAAAUACUUUUGUGUAAAACUUACUUUCAUCUGAGUAUUUUAUUGUAUGAAAAAAUUCAUCUAAAACAAAUUUAUUAUUUGAUCGGUGCGUGAAAACGUGCGUGAAUGAAAUAAUUAAAAUAUUAUUCUAUACUUUAUGAUCUUUAUCUAGGAUUAGAUAAUACGCAUGACAGUUAUUUUAUGCAAUCAACCAACUAAUGUGUAUAUGUAGGUAGUAUAUUUUAAUGAUAAUAACUCAUAAAAUUAACAUUUCAUUAUUUGGAUUUCACGUAAGCUUAAUAUUCAUUUCAAACCCCUGUGCGUCGUCGUCAUCAUCUGCCAUAAUAUUAGCUAGCUAGUCGUUUGACCCAGGAAAAUUAAUAGUAUUGUAUUAUUUGUUUUGUGUUAUUUAUUUAUUUAUUUUUUUUAAUAAAUAAAUUCUAUAAUAUAAUGUAACUAAAUAAGAAUGAUAAAAUAUAAUUUUUCAUUUGAAUUAAUUUUAUUAAAUUGAUUAUAGAAUAUAUUAUCUAUGUGUUAUUUUCUGUUUAUGUUGGGGGGCCAUAGCGAUAACUGUAAUAAUAUUAUUAUGUACUAGGCUUAGAAACUUAUAGCAUUUGGUUAUUUUCUCGACAUUAAAUAAUUUAGCAGAAUGCUAUAUUAUAGAAAUAUAAAUUAUAACAUCAAAACAAGUUCAAACCUAAAAUUUAAAAUAAAGUGCCUUUGUUUUUUGUAAUAUUUAUUUCAAUACUAGUGAAAAAAAAAAAAUUGGAUUUUACCAGUUCUUAUUUUCCUUUUUUCUGUGGUAAAAGACCCGAACCAUGUUUAUUACUAUAAUAUAAUAAUAAUAAUAACAAUACUGCGUUAUAAUCACAGUCCGGUUAUAUUUCGUAACGAUAACGUAGUUAAUGGUGAAAAAGUAAUCAUAUUAUAGUACACUGGCGACCAAUAAUCCUAUGGAUACAGUUUUAAUAAUAUGUUAAUUUAUGACGACAACAUUACAUAUAGGAUAGUUUUCUCGCAAAACUUUGACGAUCAGUGUGUGCGAAUGUGGUCUACGGGGAUACACUUACGCCAAGUCCUUUUCUGUGUGACCUUAGCCUUAGUAUAUUGAGCCCCGAGGACACUAUCGUUUCAAUCUGACGUUUCCUAUAAUUACUGGUGUCCGAUUUUUGUUUUUAAAACGAUUGUAAUUGAAAAAAAAAGUAUUAAAUUGCAAUAAGAAAGCGUCUCGCUAACACUAAAUCAAUGAUGUAUACAUAAGGGGGGGGGGAUAGAUAUUUGGAUUUGGUCUUACCAUCGUUAUUUUAUUUUUUUAGGUCUUACAUUAUAUAAAUCAUAUAGACUAAAUAUACAAUUUAAUGUUAGAUCGAAUAAAUAAGACAACAUAUUAUUUUUUCUAAUAUAACGGCUUCGUAGUAAUACAAUUCAUAUUAUUAUUAUAAAUACAGUUUGGUUUUAGUCAAAAAGAUCAAUCAAAAAUUAAAACUUGUAUUUACAUAUUGUUCCCAAAAACAAAAAUAUAGUAACAAUAACUGCUUGAAUAUUAGUGCGAGAGAAUGGUGAACAUUUAUCCUCAGAGGGGGGCUCUCGUAUUUUUAACUCCCCUUUCAAAAAUCACGUAUAACAUGCUACUGCCACAGCACUAUGUAGGUACAUAAUAUAAUAUGUUUCAUAAUAGAAAUAGUAAAACAUACAUGGCUUCAGAUUAUAUUUUAGUUUUAUUUUUUUUAUUUAGAGAACAUUUUCAACCACUUUAAGCUGAAAAAAAGUCUUAUAUUAUUUUAUAAAAUUGAUAUUCAGAUUUUUAGUAAUAGAAUUUUCUUCGUUGACAGUUAAUUAAGAGACGAGAAUUGUAUGAAACGAUAUGUAUUUUAUAAGAAUUAUUAUAUUUUGACAAAAUUGAUAAUUAACGAGUUUAACUCGUUAAGCUCGUUAGCUCUUUAAAAGCUAAAAUUUACAAUUAACAAUGUUACAAUGUUAAAUUGUUAUAAUAAAUAAUGGAUUUGUUUCGAAAUGCCCCAAGUCAAUUUCCUUUUAAUUUUAUUUACAAUCUAUACCUACACUAUUUGAAUUUGUCAUUAUCAUAAUAUAAAUACAAGUAUAACAAUUUUAUCUUUCACUAUCGUGUACGGAGUUAAACGAAUAAAUAUUCCCCGAAUAAAUCCUCUUCAUUUAAAAUUGAACAUUAUUUGAAACAAAAAAAAAGUAAUGACUUCUCGAAGUAUAAAAAUGAUUUCACAUAACUUUACAAAUUGUAUGAAAAUAAUUAACCAAACUCUAUAUUGAGUUAAUUAUAAUAUUAAUUAAAUAUUGAGUUAAUUAUAUAAAUUCGAAUUCAAUUUUUACUUAACUUAUUCAAUUAAUAAAAUAAUUGAUUUUAAAUGCGUUAUCCGCGUGAAUAACUUUUGUCAAUUUAAAUUUUAACACAACUGCAUCGUUAGUAUGUUUAUAGUUAUUCAUUGACUGGUGUGUCAGCGUUGCAUUUUUAAACACAUAAUUACUUAUUUUGAUUUAUCGCAUCAUAUUAUGUUAUGACAUGAUCACGACGCAAAAUAUAAUUACAUACGGAUGCGGAUGAUGUUUAAAUAUCGCAAUAAUAGUUGAAAACAAAAAAUACCCCAAUCGAAAAUGUUUUAUUAAGUAUAAAAAUUACUAAACCAGCGAGGUGUAUAAUACAAUUACGCUAUUCCAUUUUAACCCUUUCGAUAUCAUCGUGCAUAUCGUUACAUUAUGUUAUGUAUAAAAAUAUCAAUUGAAUUAUUCCCCCGCGGUCGCGAAAAACGUAUAAACUGUUAUCAUAUUAACGUAACAGUAUAUUGAUGUAAUGCCGAAUAUUUAAACGAAAUUCGAUUUUCAAUAAUCAAAUUCACCUCUUCUAGGUUUUUAUAAAUUGUAUAUAAUUAAAACAUCAUAAUUAUAUUACAUUAUAGGUACGAACACGUCAUAAUUCAAAGUACCGUAAUUCAGUGUUUGGAACGUUCACUAAAAAGAUGAAUUCGUCCGCGUUCUUUGAAAAAAUGAAUGCGUUCAUUAGGUCGUUCGUUUAAUUUUUUUUUUUUUUUUUUUUAUGAAUAGUUUACCUGCACAGUAGGGUACACGUUUUACAACAAUCACAACUAUAAAUAAAUUCCGUGCGUGUUCUGCGCGUCCCUGUCGUUUUGUAAUUCCCAGUAAUUAAAUUUAAAUUCCUCGGUGCAGAUGAUAAACGUUAAAGCCUACGUUUACAUUUUAUUCAUUUUUAUUAUAAUUAGCCGAUUAGAUUUUAGGUAUACCGAUUUAUUACGAAUUCGUGGAAAUUAUAACAAUGCUAUUGUUGUUCAACGUCGAGCCGGACCAGCUGAAAUUUCACGUGUUUAAUUUUUAUGACAUUUAUCAUCAUAUAACAUGUAUAAUAGGAAUUAGAAUGGGAUAAUACGAACAUAUUAUCGUAUAGAAUAAAAUUGUCAACGUAUUAAAUAUUUUAUACACAUAUUUGUUGAAUGGUAAAUAAAUCGAGUGUCUUAAAAAUCGUUCAAAUUCAUUGGAAACAUAAACGUUGUUCACGUUCACGUUGUAUUUGAAAAAUAAACGAGUGACGUUCGCGUAUCGUUCGUUAAUUAUGGACGUGAACGCGUGAACGUGCGUCCGUAAACGACGUUCUUUCCAAACACCGGCGUAAUUAUUAUAAACACGAUGGAAAUGUUUUAUCAAAAAGAAUUCCAUUUUCAGUUGCAAUACGUGGCCUAAUAUAAAUGUAAAAACUACAAGAAUAUUUCCGCGGACGGACGCCGUCUUAUUAUGACGGUGUUGAGGUAUAAUUGUCGAAAACGUUGACAGCAGGUUGCGUGUUUCGGGUAAAGGAUAAAAAAUACGGAGGAACACAAUUAUUAUUACUGAAUAAAUGAUAUUGUAAAACCAAUUUUGUAUAUUCGUGUAAUAUUUGUUCGAAAAAUAUGUGUAGCCGUCUGCGAGAGAAAAACGAAUAAACAAGGGUUUAUAAUAAUAAUACAGGGUGAUUUUUAUUUUUUUUUUCUCAUUAUUCAACGAUUACCUACAAAAAUUUCGAGUGAAAUUAAAAAUUCAGUUAUUAUUAUAUUAUACUACUUAUAUGCCCGUUAUACAUAUGCCUAUCUAUACAUACUAAUCUGCCUAGAUGAUCGUUGGGUCGUGAGAAAAAAAAAAGAAAAUCAUGAUUUCUCGAUACGUCUAUCGGCAACUAGUAGUGGCGCAUUAUUUAUACGGCGACGUAUAGUGUUCCACCUACCCCCUACCUAAACUUAAAAAUGAAAUAUCUCGUCAUCGGGAAAAAAAUUUUAGCACCAGAAUAUAUUUAAACUUCAUUUAUUUUAUUUAUGAGAUUAUUAGUAUAUGUUGUAACUCGAAAGUAAAAAUGUGUAGUGGUUUUACUCCCGAAAAUAAAUGCGACAGAAAAUAACGAAACAUUUUAUAUCUGAUAGUUAUUUUAAAUUGUCAAAAAAUAAAAAUCGAAAAAUCACAAAAAUGUUAAUACUUUUCGAGAAUAAUCAUCUCACCUCAUUACACAUAAAAAAGUGCAGUUGUUUUAAUACACCAAAGUGUUAAUCUAAUACACAUUUGCAUAUUGUUUUUCCCUUAAAACAAAAUUAUAGUUAGUUUAAUUACAAUAUAUUGUUAAAACAUUGAAUGUUUAGUAAAUGUUUGAUGUAUACUCUCACUGUUAUAAUGGGUGUAUACAACAACAAUAGUAUUUAAAAUAACCACGGUUUGGUGUUAAAACUACUAAAUGAAAUGUUGAAAAAAAAAUCUUAGUAAAAUAAAAGGUACGAUGUUCCAUAAAAUGUCUAAUCACUCGCGGCGGGGAUCGAAUUCGCCUACCUAAGGAAUCCUACCUAACGCCUGAUCCCUAUCGACUACUACCUACUUUGUUAUAGAAUUAAAUGGAUAUUUAACUGUUGCAUAAUAUUAUUUAUUUUAUCAUAUCUAAUAUGUAAAAUACAAUAUUUGUUUGAUAGUAUGUUUGUUCGUAUGUUAUGUGCUUCAAAUCUAAUCGAAAGAAUCAAUAUUAAAUAAUUUUAAAGGUGCAUUUUUAAUUAAAAGUCCCCCAUAAUGGGUUAAUAUGUGAAAUUUAGGUUUGAGAUUACUUUUAGAUAAUAAUAAAUAAAGUCUAUUAUAUUAAGCCACUAUUUGGUCCAAUAAAUGUUAAAUUGUUCUUGCACAGCAUGUAUCAACAAUUUUUCGUAAUGUAUACAAUAUAUAAAAUAUAUACAAUUUUGGUGUUGGUAUAGAAUAUAGAUGCACAUCGGUCGGAGAGCAAGAAUGAAUAGAUGAUAUGAUAUCAAAAUAAAUAAAAUUACAAAAUUCAUCAAACAACGUAAACAUCGAUAACUGAUUAUAAACAUUAUACUAAGAAAAAAUAAUUUUCCUGUGGUAAAAUCUAAAAUUAGAUUAUUAAUAUCAACUCAAGACUAAAUGGUGUGGUUGAUUUAACAAUCAUAUCGACUGUCAAAUUUAUCAUCAAUAGAAUCAAUUGUUUAAAUUAGUUGUUUAAACGUUAUUUUAACACUUUUAUAUUUAUUAGAAACAACCAAACGCAAACCAAGAUGUGUGCAUUGAACUCCUCAAUUUAAGUAAAAUUAACAUCAAAAUUACUAAAACUGAAUACUUACCUAAAGUUGAUUUAAAUAUAAUCUACUCUUGAAAAGGUUUUAAUUUUUAGUUAUUUAAAACAUGGGUGUUGUUAAACAAUAUUAUUUAAUUCAACUAUCCGUUUCCAUUAUUUAAACCACGUACGAAUCUUAAUUUAAUUUGUAUGUAUUCAACACCUUAACAUAAGUAAAAUCAAUUCCAAUAUUUUUAUGUGUGAUUGAGGUUUGACCAGAGCGCGACAUAUAGUAUACAGAGCGAUAAUUCGUUAAGCGUUUUAUUGAUGGCGUUGGCAUUUUGGUGUCGGCAAAUGGUAUUUCCGAAAAAAAAAAAAAAAAAGAAUUAAAUACAAAUUAACCUUAUAUACGUAUGUUGUAGCUGGUACCUAUAUGUAUGUAGACCAAUACUCAAUAAAUCACCCGUGUAGGUAUAUACGUCAACCAUUAAGUACAUCUGAGAAACAACUUCCGGGCAACGCCUUUGAUGGAGAUGUACGUACACAAAUUGAGCGAUUGAAUUGAACCAUUCGUCAUUGAACAGAAUAAUCUCACGUCCUCAAUACUACAUAUUUUUAAACAAAAUUUGAAAGUUACACGUAUAAUAAAAUAGGUAUUACAUUCCAACGAUAAAAAAUUGUAAUUUUAAUACAGUGCACUUUAAUAUUGUAAAGUUGCAGUGAUUUUCAUGUUAAUUUAUUUAAAGGUAUUUUUUUUUGUAAUUUUGUAUCUCGUUACGCCGUCGUUAAGAUUUUCUUAACGUUGAAAAUUACCUUAAUGGGAUGUACGUUGUACUCGUAUCGUUUUUAAACCAGUUGUUUUAAAGAUUGAUUAGUAAUCUAACCGUAUAAAUAAAAAUCAACUGCCGCAUGUAUGAGAAAUCAUCACGUUGAAUGGCUUAACCAAUUUGGCUGAUUUUUUUUUCGUCGUGUUCGUAAUUUUCCGAAUAAAAUUUGAAUAAAAGAAAAUUUAAAUAGAAAAUAAAAGUCAGAAAUUUAGUUUAUAUUUUUUUUAUUUUUUUUCGUAACGGGUUAUCUCCGAAUCUACAGUACCUAUUUACGUGCGGUUUUUUGGCAAAAUGAUUCGUGUUGUCCAUGAAGCUGUACAGCUUUUAAAACUUUUGAUCUGACCAGUAGAAGUAGUAGAUCUAAUCAGCAAUAAUUUGGGCUAGAUAAAAAAUUAUAAUUUAUAAAUGUUUUUAAUUACUAAGUGAACAUUCAUGGAAGUUUAAAAAUAAGACACAGUUUUUAAAAUUUAAGUGCAACAACGGUUGUGUAGUGGUAAUUACAGAGAUUGAAAAAGGGAAUCCAGAGAAAAACCUCAUUAUUAGACAUUUAUUUAGCACAGACAACGUCGGACGGGACAGCUAAUUUAUAAUAAUAAUAAAUCGGUCAGAAUAUUUGUAUAAAUAUUUCGUAUUUUUUAUAAUUUAAAAUAUGUUUUAAAAAGAAAAAUUGCUAAUAAAAAUUUUUUUUAUCUUUAACAUGACGGGUAGGUACAGAAAUACACUGCUUUCGUAUGGUGGUGAGUGAAGUAAUUACCAAAAGUAAUUUUAGAAUUUGAGUCAAGUUUUCGAAGUUUUUUAGUUUUACAAAGAUGUUUGUUAUUUUAUUAUUUUUAUCUGUGCGUUACUUUUCUACCAGAAGACUCGGAUUUCUAAAUGUAGCGCCUUUUCUGAAAGUAAACUGGCGUGGAGAGGUAAGCAGAUCAUUUAUAGAUUUUCUCAAUAUUUCUCAUUAAAUUUGAAAAACCGAACAGAAAAAAAACGGGAAAAUUUACGAAAUAUAUUACUAAAAUAUUACUUUAUUUUUCUUGUGCCAACUUUCCAACCAAUAAUUUUGCUCCAACUUUUAAUUAUAACAAUAUUUCUAAAAAUAAAUUUCAUUAUCAAGGUACUUUAAAGAGGUCAUGUUUCGAUUUUCUUAGGAGUUAUCUCAUCAAAUUUGGAAAACCGAAAAAAAACGGGCAACUAUAAGAAAUAUAAGUAUUAGUUAAAAUAUAUUACGGCCUUCUUUUUUUCUGUGCACAACUUUUCUACCAGCAAUUUCGCUUUAACUUUUUAUGAUAGCAAUGUUUUUAAAAGAAAAUUUCACUAGCGAUAUACUUUAAAGUGGUCACUUAUCGAUUUUCCUCGAGAGGUUAAAUAAGAGUUUUCACAGCAAAUGUGAAAACCCAGGUUAAAACAUGGGAAAACCGGGAAAAACGUAGGAAUACUGGAGAAAUCAGUACAACAUUAAACAAAUAUUAUUAAAGAAAAUAUAUAAAGCCUAUUUAAUUAUUUUACUAUAAAAUGACAUACACAUAUAUAUAUAUAUAGCAUUACUCACAACUGAACUCCUCUCAGAAUUGUUUUUUCAUAAGCAAUGGUUUAUUGUUGCUUUCUCGUAUACAUUAAAUUAUCUAGAACAGUAGCAGCACCCGUCCCCAUUAUCAUAGGACGUCUUUUUUCUCAUACAUCUAAUAAUAAAAUAAACAAGUAUUAAGUUUUAUGUGAAAACACACAUAAAUCCUUAAAAAUAGCUUAUUUCUCAAUAAAAUAAUUAUUUGAAAUCUAAAAAUGAUUUUUAAUCGUAUAAUACAUUUUUAUCUUAUACAUAAACUAUAUAAUCUAUUUACAGUGAAUCCCGCUUAAUGUGAGCGUGUUGAGUCCAGUUACAUUUGUUCACAUUAAACGAUUACUCAUUUCAACCGAAACGAGUGUCGUUAUACAUUAGAAUUGUAAUUCUAUAUUAAGCGGAAUCGACUGUAUACGAAAAAUGUCACUUAACUCUACAGUAUACACAACAUACACAAAACAGAUACUGAAGUUAGUUUAUAAAAUGACACUAACUGCACUUAGUUUCCGAUAAACUAGAUAUAUAUUCAGUAUAAAUGUCACUACCAGUAAUAAACACAGUAAAUAAUAUCAACUGUUGCGUUUUUUAUUAGUCAGUUUAGUAAGUUAGUCUAGGUAGUAAUGUUUGAACAAAAAACGUUUAGUUAUGAUAAUUUAAAAUCGAUUUUUUAAGUACUACUUAAACAAUAAACAGACCACAUUUUUACCGUUUAGUUGAAAAGACGCAGAAUACGAUAGUUAACAAUACUGUAUUAUAUACUCAUUUUGACAAUUCGGUAGUUAUUGCAUUUGCCAUUACGAGGGCAGUCAUAAAGCAAUCAGCUCGUCUACUAAUAUUUUUUUAUAAAUCUUGAAUAAUUAUUUAGUAAUUCUCGAUUCGUCGAGUUGAAAGUGUCUUAAAAAUGAACAAAGUCCUUGAAUAUAAUAAAUUAUAUAAUGCAUAAAAUCCUAAAAUAUAAAUUGGUUAUUUGUUCGCCUAUUAAUUCUGGUUGAUUUAAGUAAUUUUAAGAUUUAAUACAAUUUCUACAAAUAGGUAAAUCAAUUAAUUGUUAAAAACUAAUAUUUAUGGGGAGGGGUGGAGAGAAGCACCAAAACCUGAACAUGUCUCUGAUCAGUGUGGAAUAUAAUGUUUACUAAUCCAAGACUAGGAUUUUUACACACUUGCUCUACUAAUAUUCUAUUCGCAUACACCUACUGAAACAUCCAGAAUUCCGUGCCUAUAUUAUAACAUACAUAUAUUAGUAUUAUGACAUAUUGAAAUUAAUUUGUUCGUUAUACUUCUAAUUUAUGUUAGUUAAUUAUUAUUGAAUUGUUAUUAUUGCAUCGCUAUUGAUAUUAAUUAUACCUGUCUUUUGUUAUCCAUUCACGCACCUAUACAUUUUGAUGGAGCUGUUGCUCCUCGAAAACAUUGUCAACGUGCCAUCACUAAAACCUAUUACAAUGAAUAAUAUAUAUAUCCCGCUUUUAUGUCUUUCAUUUUUUAUCGUAAAAAUAAACCGGCGUUUUCAACAUACAAUAAUAAUUUAAAAUAUUAAUACAUACUUAACAAAUGCGUUAAAACGGUAAAUUUGUCAUUAGGGACACGGCAAUAAAUACUCCAGUGUAUAUUAUGUUCGUUUAUGUCGAAUGUACAUACUACUCAUUAUUAAUUAUAUUUUUUUUUUUCUCUUAGUGAAAAUAAAUACGUUUCAACAUGAACUAUUAAUCAAUUUAAGAUUUUAAGAUAUUUUUACGCUCGAAAUAUACAUUAAAAUUUGUCGAAUCUUUGUUUAUUAGUAAUAAUUGUAUGGAUCAAUGUAAAAUAUUAGGUAUUUUUUAUAUUAUUAUUGAGUUUAUAAUAUAAAUUAAACAUUUAUAGGUAAAAUAUAUAAAACUUCACUAUACAAAAUAUAAUACCCAUAAAAUGAAUAUUUUUCUUUACAAGGCAUUAAACGAAAUGUAUUCCGCUUAUAUUUUUUAUGCGGUUAGUGAAAAUUAAAAAAAUUAAACUCAUUAUUUUUUUUUAUUAUUAUUAUACGCAAUAUAAUAAUUAUGUUUGCAUCGAGUACAUAUACUUAUAUAAUGGUUGCUUAGAAAUUAAGUACUUAAGUACUAACAUUUUAUUUUUUCUUAAACUAUAAUAAUCUACUUCAAUAUAAUUGUAUAGGUACCUAUGCUAUUUAUUUUCUUUUAUAGGUAUGCUAAUGUCUGAAAUUAUAAUAUGACUGGAAUAAAAGUAUAAUGACGUAUUCAAAAACGUAUCAAAGUACACUGACAAUUCAUUUUUCUUGAGCAUAAAAAAUAAAACUCGAAAAAAAAUGGAUACAUAAUAGCGUUCGUCGUUAUUAAUUUUGAAACAAAAAAAAAACUGCAGUAUUUGAACACACCUACGCUAAGUAAUACAUAAAUUGAAUAAACCUGAAUUUCAAUUUUAAACGCGAAUCUAUAGACCAAGUGACUACAUUUUCUUUUUAAUAUAAUAAAAUUAUACAUGAAAACUCAAUUCAUCGGUUCUCCGCCUUUUUUCUAUGUAUAUUUAUAGGCACAGAUAUGUUUACAUAAAUAACGUAGGUUUUCUUCAAUGCAAUCGCCGCAUAAUGUCAAAGUACACCCGUAAAAUCUCCUCGAUUCCUGUUUAUACGUAUAAGAAGGUAGCUAUACUUAUUCGUUGGCCUGGUGUUAGAAGAAAUGGAAUUGUUAAAAAUAUAUCAGUUGCACACAAUGAGUUGGAUGGGGCCGUGGAGAAGGGGAGAGAAUGCUUUAUAAUAUAACAUCGUGUUUUACUCGGGUUUUGAUUAAAAUACGAAGGAAAACGUCGUCUUCGGGGAAUACCGUAUACGCGUAUACCUACGUAUCUUCCUUUUUACAUUUAUUUUGAUUAUUUAUAUGCAUACGCAUAAGUAUAAUAUAUAUUUAUUUAUGUAUGUGUUUACCCAAAAAAGAUAUUUAAAAAAAAAAUAAUAACAAAAACCCUAUGCCUUAGAACAACUUUAAUAGCAAAACAAACCAUUCGGUAUUAUAUCAUUUUCGAAAUUCAUUUGAUUUAUGUAUUAUGAAUAAAAUAUUGGAAGAUUUGAUAAUAUUAAUAAGUCGUUUCUAUUGACUUUCAAUGUGAAUGAUCAUUUUUCAUUUUUCUGUCCACCACGAACUUUUAUUCUAGAAAUCUUGAUUCAAUUAAAAAAUGACGAGAGAUAUGUUUUGUUAAAUUAGGGAUUUAGUCAGUGCACUAUGGGGGUUAUUAUCCGAGUAGAUUUUAAUUUACUGAUUUCAUUUUUCUACCAACAAUCUUAUUUAGAAUUUUAAUAUUAUCAUAUUUUCUCAGACCAAAUGUUGUCUAGUUCAUGGAUAAGUAAGUCAUUCUGUUUUGUUUUUCUUGUUGUUUUCUUAAUAUUCAGGGGGAAAUUGAGGAAAAACGUGAAUUGUUGGGGUAAAAACAAUUUUAUUAUUUUCUAAUUUGUUUUUUUCGUUAUAAUUUGGUAAAAAAUAAUCGCAGAAACCUAAAAUGUUCACAUAAUAAUAAAAAUGGAUUUUUAAAAACGUGGUCAAAUUUUCAAACCAUUCUAUCGAUUUUUAGUUCUUUAUAGGCAUUAGACAUUGAUACUGCUGUUGGGUGUGUCACUGUUGUAGAUUGAAAGUUUGGAAGGUAGUGCACAUAAAGUUAUUUAAUUUAUAUCUGUACGCAACGAUAAAUCUUUGUUGACAAAUUACGAUUCUGAGUUUGUUUAUUGUUUAUUACUAUUCAAGACAGCUGGGCAUUUUAAGUAAAAAAGUUUAAAGUUAAAUUGAUUUUAACUAUUUACCAGUGCCGUUAUAAGCUGACACACAAUGAUAAACAUUUAACUUGUUUACUGACCUAACCUAGUUUGUUUAUAGUAGAUAUAGUUCAAUUAAAAACAAACUAAUUUUUAGUUAUAUCACGUUAAGCUAAUUUCGUUGAAUUCUAAAUAUACCACAUAUCCAAUUACAGCGUACUUCAGAGUUCAAUGGAUACGAAAGGAAAAAAAAUUACUGAUAAAGUGAAAAAUACAUAAUCUCGGAAACUAAUAUAACCUGGAUCACACAAUAAGAACUAAAAAUAUGGAAUACUGUACCUUAUACUUCUAGAGAAAAUAAUGAGAAAAGAAGUUUUGGAAUAUGAAGAUUAUCAUAGUUGAAAUACAUUCGUGAUUCGUUUGAGCAACAUAAAAUUUAUUAUUUUUGUGUGCUCUUUGAAAAAGAAAAAAUAUUUAUUAUAAUUUAAAAAUUCCAAAAUGGAUAUAAAAUAUAAAAUGUUGUUGCCUUUAGUUUUGUGAAACAAUUGUUAUUUUAAGUUUAUUAGAACCAGAGUGAUGUUGGGACUCCGAACACUGUAUUUUUGCUAUGUUUCCGGUUAAAAAAACAUGUCUGAUCUCCUCUUAUAACUUACCCAGUUAUUUUUAUUUGAAUUUACGCGUUUUGGCGUACAUUCUGUAUUUUUCUCCGCGAAUUUUGUAUUUAACAAGUUUAAAACGUGAAGAUAAUAUUCUUACGUGUAAAAGUUACGCAUACUGUCAGUAAACCGUACAUAUUAUUCGAUAUGCUUCUUAAAUACAACGGCGUCUCUCGUAUAAAAUAUUUUCUUGAUGUACAGUAGUAACAAAAGCCUCUUUUCUCGCCAGGUUCUUUUGUUACCUACAACGAUGGUACACGCUCGACGACCUUUCGAUGCUGUUUCAAAGACUCCGCGUAUUGUAGUAGAAUGCAGUCGCCGCUGCUGCUGUAACCAAAGAGAAUGACACGACUCGAAUGAAAAGAUUCCUUAUAAUAUAAUAUAGACCUAUAACAGUAUCUAUACAUUUAUAUAUAUAUAUAUAUAUAUAUAUUAUAUUAAAAGAGGGUAGGUAAUGCGUAAAUACAAUAUCAUCGGAUUUACCUGAACAGUAUUUUGUAUUGUCAUAACCUGCUUUGACCGUCUGCCGUCGUGAUCAUCGUGACAUCAGUAGUCAUGGUGAUAUUGAUUCAGUUUUAAGAUAAACGGGAAUCUUUUCGUGUAUUUACAAUGUUCAUUUUUUUAUCAAUUUUCCAUACACAUCCAUAAUUAGUAUACGCAGUAUAUUAUAAGCACCCAGCAACUAUCGUGGAAGGUAAACUAACUAAGGGUAAAAUGUUACCUUCAAUCAGUACACUAAAAAAUAAUUAAUAUAAACUUUUAAUAAUUCAAAAAGUAAUAACUCCCUACCCCCACUUUCAAUCCGAAUUUUAACAGAGAAUAUUUGUCUAAUAAUUCAGGUAUAUAAAUUUCAUAUUAAUUUUUAGAUGAUCAUCUAUCAUCACUAUUCCUGCGGUUUAAAUUUGUAAACUGUGUAACUAAUAAAAGAUAUAUGUCAGUUUGGAAUAAAGGUAAAGUCAGAACAUAUUUUAAAUAGGUAUAUAAUAUAAUACAUUGAAACAAUUCUGACGUGACCAAAACAAGUAAAAUAGAUUUUAUUCAAAAUCUUGGUAUAUAAUUACUGGAUCGUGAUAAAAAAAUACAAACAAAAACACCUCGUAUGUAUACAGUAAAUUUCGUGAAAUUUGCGAUUUAUUUCUAGAUCAGUUUUAUUACUUUGUGUAUAGGGAUAUCGAAAGCAAAACGAAGGGAUUUAAUACUAUACGCAAUUAUUAUUGCCCGUCACACAAAUCUGGCAACAAUAGGACUAUGCGGUGACGAAACAUUCGACGAUUGGUAAUAAUUGUUUUUUUCUCUCUUUCUCUCUCUUUUAGAUACACAAAAACCUCGCACGAGCCAUCAUGUUAAAAGGGUCACCGAUCGGAGCCUUUUCUACUUCGCG